AUAGUGGCGAAAUGCAAGCAAGUUCCUCUGGCAGUGAUUAACUUGGGGACUCAACUGUAUGGUAGGACUGAUGAAAAAGAGUGGGAAUCGGUGAGAGAUAGUGAGAAGUGGGAAGAAGAGGGAGAUGGUAUUUUACCUGCCUUGAAAAUAAGCUAUCAAAGACUGCCGCCUCACUUGAAAAGAUGCUUUCUUUAUUGUUCGGUUUUUCCAAAAGAUUACCGGUUCGGAGAUCUCUAUUUGGUGCAAUUUUGGAUGGCAAAUGGGCUCAUUCAUCAAUCAUCAAAUCCAAAUGAGAAAUUGGACGAUGUUGGCUUGCGUUAUGUGCGCGAGUUGAUCUCAAGAUGUUUCUUCCAAGAUUAUGUGGGUAGGAUUGUUGGAGCUAUCUUUAAGAUGCAUGACUUAAUGCAUGAUCUUGCAUCAUCAUUGGCUCAAAAUGAGUUUUCAAUCAUAAGCUCUCAAAACCACCAAAUUUCCAAAACGACCCGUCAUUUGACAGUUCUUGACUCUGAUUCAUUUUUUCAUAAAACUCUCCCCAAGUUCCCAAACAACUUCCAUCAAGUGCGGUCAAUAGUCUUUGUAGAUAGUAUAGUGGGGCCUACAUGCAAAACAGACUUUGAGAAAUGUUUGUUAGAAUUUAAGCAUUUGCGGUCUUUGGAAUUAAUGGAUGAUUCUGAAUUUGAGGCUUUUCCGGAGAGGAUUGGCGCCUUGAAACACUUGAGAUAUCUCCAUUUUGGGAAGAACGCAAAAAUAAAAAGACUCCCAAAAUCUAUUUUCAAAUUGCAAAACUUGCAAGCUCUGGUUACAGGUGAAGGAUUAGAAGAGCUGCCCAAAGAUGUGAGGUACAUGAUCAGCCUUAGAUUUUUAUUUCUAUGUACUCAGCAGAAGCGGUUGCCAGAAGGUGGGAUUGGUUGUUUGGAGUGUCUUCAAACUUUAUUCAUUGUUGGUUGUGAAAAUCUAGAAAAUUUGUGCGAAGAUAUGCAAGGUCUUAAAAGUCUUCGGAAAUUGGUUAUUUGUCUUUGUGAUAGCUUGAUUUCUCUGCCAAGAAGCAUAAAAUGCUUAACUACUCUGGAAGAAUUAUUUAUUAGUAAUUGUGAAAAGCUUGAUUUGAUGACAAUAGAAGAAAAGAAAGAGGAAAAAAUUCAACCUCUUUCCCUUUCCCUUCGUAUUGUAAUGUUUGAAUACUUACCAGCAACUCUUGCUGUACCAGAGCAGCUUCUUCAAGGAUCUGCAGAAUCCUUACAAACAUUUAUCAUCGGAGACUGUCCAAACAUUGAAGAAAUGCCGGAGUCCAUCAGCAAUUUAAAAAAACUUCAAAAGCUUCGUAUCAGUGAUUGUCCAAGUUUGAGCAAAAGGUGCCAAAAGGGAACAGGAGAAGAUUGGCCCAAGAUCGCACAUAUCCCUAAAAUCAAGGUUGACGAUGAUGACAGUGGUGAAGAAACAUCUGGUUAGGUAUGGGUGAUGAGUAUUUAAAUCUAUCAUAUUUAGUUUAACAUUUUUAUCCAUUCUUCAAUUCCUUUUUUCGUUUAAAUUAUUUUCCCUGAAAACAAUAUUAGCUUUGAAAAAACAAAAAAAACUGACAAAACCUCUUGUGUUUUGGAGAGGCAGGUUCAAGUGGAACUCCAUAAGCAAGAGAAGAAGACAAGGUAUGUCAUGAUAAAAUGCAAAGUUGACUAAUUCAUUCAGCAAUUUAAAUUUCUUUGAACUUAAUAAAUUCUAUGUUUGUCUAAUUUUUUUCAGUUUUCGGUGGGGUUUCUGCUGACGGUUAUAAUUCGGGGACUUCAAUUUGUUCGGUGUUGUUGCUGACAAUCUGGUUUGUUCAAAUAAAGAUGAAGAGUGUUUGCUGGAGAUUAUUAUUCGUUCUCUGUGUGCUUUGCUCGUAGUUCCUGCUGGUGAUCUACUUGUCUUUUCAUUUGUUCAUAAUGGUUGCCAAUCAGUUCAUUUGGUGGUCAUGGAAUUUGCUCCCUCGAUGAUACCAUAGUGGUAGAGAUUGUCAUAUAGAAUUUGGAGCUGAAUAUGGUGAUCUUCCAUUUGUAACAUAUUUACUCAGACCUGGUUUUCGUCAUACUGGAUUUUAUAGCUAAAAUAUUAAACGAAACCAGGUUGCAGCUUGCAGAGGAGGCAGGGGUGGUGCUGUGAGCCCUGUUUUGAAAAUUUUCAUUUGUCCCAUUUUCCUUUUUUUAAACUAUGUGCCACCAGCAUCAAGCAGCUUAAAUUUAUCUAAUCAUCGUUAUCAAGCUUUAAUUUAGCAUUAGUGACUUGAAUUUGAAUCAUCACUAUCCAGAUAUUCCUUGUGCAAAAGACUAGGAGUGCUCCUUUUUGUUUCGUUCAUGUCAUUUUCCUUGCUUCUAGGCCAUGGGAUGUUUCUAGGCCAAGAUUUAAAGCUAUUCCCCUACACAUAUUUGCCUUAUCUCAACUAUCAUUCAUUCCAAGAAAUGGACAUUCUCUGUCAUCUUCACCUUCACUGUUAUCCCCUCAACCUUCUUGUUUUUAGCACUCAAAAUGUUUGCUGGAAAAUCCAUCAACAAUCCCAACUAUCCACCAGUUAAAGGCACAAACUUUAACCAGCUUCUCUAUGACUGCCAAAUUGAGCUAAUCGUUUCUAACUCUGGAGUGGAUUGUGUUUUCAUUGAUAGUGUAUAUGGAUUUCUUUUAUAUAUAUAAAUCAAGUAUUGAACAUAUUCAUCCUAAUAUAAUAAUAAAAUCAAAGAAGAAUAGCUUAGGUGGUCUCAUCAAACUAUAGAUGAAACAUCUAUACUCACCAUCUAAAAAUUCAUUCAAGACUAUAAAUAGAUCUUCAAGAUAAAACUAAAAGCUAAUAGAACCAUCCAAAAAUACAAAGCAAGAUUUCUUGUUAAAGGUUUCAAACAAUAAAAAGAAAAAAAAUAUUAUUUUACUACAUACUUAUACUUAUCUAUGUUAAUAAUAACUUUUAUAUGUACAUUAAUAGUUAUUAUAAUUAUUAACAAGUUAGGAAUACAUCAAAUUUAUGGAAAAAUAGUUUUUUAAAUGGUGAUUUUGAUGGAGAGUUAUUUAUAAAACAACCUAAGAGGUUUGUUGUUAAAAAAAUAAAAAAUAAAAAGAUUUUAAACUUGUGAAGUUAUUAUAUAGUUUGAAAUAAGCUUCUAAAUAAUUGCAUGAAAAAUUUGAUAAUGUUAUAUUGUUAAAUAAGUUUAAAAUUAAUAAGGUUAAUAAAAGUAUUUAUAUAAAAAUUAUAAAUAAAAAUUGUGUUAUUACAUUAUUUAUAUUGAUGGAUGUUAAUUUUGGGUAACAUCAAAGCAAAUAUAUGAUCAAAUUUUUCAAAAUAAUAAUAUUAACUAACCCAGGGGCAUCUUGCAAUGUUGAAAGAUCGUCAAGCAGUAGCAGUCAAGGUUGGUUGGUGCGGUGUCACUUAUUAUUAUGGUCCGGGUUUUGUAUGGCAACUAGAUGAUUUUUUUUUUUUCAUUAAGUGGUUAGUCUAGUGGUAAAGAUAUUGGGCUUGAGAGAUAUACUCCCUGUUUAGGGUUUAAAUUUCACUGAAUAUAUUUUCUUGGGGCCAUGCCCACUGAUGUAAAAAAUCAAUGAUUUAUCAUGUUUUUGUAUGGAAAAUUUCUAUGGCCACGGGCACAAGAGUUCAAAGAUUUAAUUGAGAUACAUGUAAAUUGAUUCGGAUAUCCCGGUUAAAAAAAAAACUAAUGAUUUUUGUGAAUUAAAUUAGGAAGUUUAAGAGUGUUUCAACAAACUAAUGAUUCUGAUGUAAAAAACUAAUGAUUCUGAUGUAAAAAACUAAUGUUUUUGUGUAUUUAUGUUGUUGAAUCUUAGCUUACCUUCCAAUAUUAUAGCUGCAUGUGACUGAAUGCCGGGAUUCAUUCAUUCCCUCAAUCUUUUAUUCGAUUACUACUAACAGCAACCAUUGACGUCGCCGCCUUCACUCUCCAGACCACCACAACCACCUCCUCCUCUUUCCUUGAUAAAUUCUCCUCUUCAAAUCCACUUUCCAAAUCUUCUUUAUUUAUGUUAUUGUAACAUGAUUUUUAACCCCUCUAAAAUAUCUAAAAAUAUAUUUCAACGAGAAGAAAAUAUUUCAGUUAAACAAUAUUUCAAAAAUACAUAUUUUAAGAAUUUCAAAAAAAUAUUUUUUAAAAAUUUCAAAAAAAAACAAAGAAAAAUUACAAUAAGUGGAGGUUGAAAUUCAUUAAAUAAUUAAAAAUUGAAAAGCUAAGGACCAAAUCAAAAAAAGGUAUCAAUAUUCAAGGACUAUAUGCAAUUCAAUUAGGGAUGAGAUUGAGAAAAAAAUAAAAAACAAAUAGUUGAAAUUUGCCAAAAAUGAAACAAUUAAAGAUCCAAGAACCAAACUUGGGGACCUUUUAAAAAAUGAAAUUUUCCCUCACAUCAAAAUGUUGUCUUUUUAAAUUAAAAAUAAAUAAAUGCAACGGAGUCGUUCUGUCAAUGAAAAAAUAUUUUUUUUAAAAAAAAAGCAUCAGAAGAAAUUGAUUUCCAAAAAAGUCCUAAAUGUUCUCUUAUUGUAAGAUUGAGUUUUACUUGGCAAAAGCAUAUCUGGGCUAAAUUAAACAGAUGGAUCAAAUGGAUAUAUAGAUAUCCAUUUGAUAGUGGUAGAGAUUGUCAGAUAGAAUUUGGAGCUGUAUUUGAACUCUUCCCAUAGAUGAAGUGGUCUUGGGAUUAGCUAAUUCUAUGAUGUUUCGACUGCUUAUGAACUCAAAAAUGAUUCAGACAAAAGCAUGUAGGCCAAAAUUAAUGGCCAAUUAAAGUUCAUUUAUUAAGAAAGUACAUGAUUCAAAGAUACGAGACUAAGAUGAAAAACAUGGCAAAAAGAGAUUGGUUUUUUAAACUUGAAACUAAACAUACACUUCAAUCCUCUAACUUUUUAAAUUAUAAACUUUCAGUCCCUAACAAUUUAUAUUAUUUGUUAAUUAUAAUUUUUAUUAUAAUGAUCAGCCUUGGAUAUUUAUUUCUAGAUACUAAGCAGAUGCGGUUGCCAAAAGGUGGGAUUGGUUGUUUGAAAUUUCUUCAAACUUUACUCAUCCAUGAGUGUUAAAAUCUAGAAAAUUUGUGCCAAGAUACGCAAGGUCUUGAAAAGAUGCCUUCUUUGUUGUUUCAUUUUUUCAAAAGAUUACUACUUCUAGGAUAUUGGUUGAAUUGCGUUUCAAAAAAUGUUUUAUUAAAAUUAAUUUUUUUGCUUAACAUUAUUUUUUUGUUUUAUUAUUUUAUUUAAUAAGUUGAUGUCAAAACUAUUUUUUUAAAAUAAAAAAUUAUUUUAAUAUAUUUUUAAAUAAAAAAAUAUUUUAAAAAACAUCCUAGUAAAAUUUUGAAUUGCACAUGAACUCAUUCAAUCAAAGUCCAAAUGAUAGCUUUAUAUGAGAUUAUUCUAUUUUCAUUACUGAAUUGUGAAUUUAAUAGGAUAAUCUGAAUUAAUUUUUUUUUUUUUUGUAAUUUAUUUUUUAUAAAAUUAUUUUGAUUUAAAUCAUGAGUUUGCUUGGUGUAUUUAUUGAGGAGCACUUCAUUAAAGAAACAACCUAAUCUAAACAGAAGAUUUGCUUACUAUCCUGCAAUGUUGUGAAGGAGGUUUCCAACAUUUAAUUAAAAACUCAUGAACUAAAACACUUGGUCUCGAUUUGAGGAAGCAUGAAAUAGAUGGGAGAAUCCUCGACUAAAUCAAAGCACAUGGACUCCAAGUUAUUUUAUGAAUCAAAGAUCGAAAGAGUUCCUUUGUGCCUUGGUGAAAUCUCAGAUAGGAUAUAACUAUUUCGAAAGAUCGAAAUAGUUAUUUAUUUUUAUAAAAAUCAAACUAAACCAAAAAUAAUUGAUCUGAAUGUGAAAAUUGUUGGCAGUCAUGGGAUUAACAUAUUCGUGUUUUAGCUGCAAAUUUCUGAAUGCAAAGUUAAAAUUACAUUACGGAAUAAAGUAAAGGGUGUGGCGUUUUUCCUCUUCAUAUCAAUACUCGGAAUUUACUAUGCUCCUUAGCUGUAAUGCACUCAUAAUAAGGGUGUGCUUGAUUUAUUUUUAUUUUAAAAUGAAAUUUUUUAUAUUUUUAGAUUAUUUAUCAAAAAUAAUUUUUAAAAAAUAAAAAAAUAUAUUUCAAUACAUUACUACACAACUAUCCGAAUCUCAAAAAAAAAAAAAAAAACACCCUAAGAAAUUAAUUUGCAGGCAAUAAUUAACUCACUACAAGACGAAAAAACAACUAUUUGCUCUAUUUGGUCUUUGCAAAAGUUAGGGGUUCACCCAAAUUCUACGGACCCAUCCACAAACCAUUUAGAGUAAAAAAGAAAAAAGAAAAAAAAAAGCAAACAAUGGUCAAAGAUGCUCCGCAGCUGUAAUGCACUCAUAAUAAAAAAUUAAUUAUUUAUAAAAUUAUAUCAAUCUUCUUAUUUAAAUCACGAAUUUAAUAAAUUAAUUCAAGCUCCUUUAGAGUAAAAAUAAAAUAAGGGCAAACAAUGGUCAAAGAUGUUGGUCCAAGCCGAAGAAGUGCACCGGCUAAGCUCCUUUAAUGAAAUGGGUGCAUUUAGUAAAAGCACAUAAAUUCCACCAAAAAUAAAUUUCAAUGGUCAAAGAUAAGGGUCCAUGCCAAAGACGAUAAUUCAAACACAUAUCAGAAAAUAAGGCAGCUUUUUUUUCCCCUGAUAUAGGGUAUUUUUUAAAGUUUUGUUUUAAAAAAAUAUAUUAAAAUAAUAUUUUUAGAUAUUGUUUUUCCUUAUAUUUGCCCAUUAAAAUAUUUAUAAAAUACUAAAAAUAUUAUUUUGAAUCUUUUUCAAAAUAUACUCAAAAGUUUGGAAAAGACGGUCGAAUUACUCUCCUCAGUAGGGCUAAAAAAAUGAUGUUAGGGGUUCUCAUUUACUAUCAAUACUCAGAAUUUACUAUGCUCCGCAGCUGUAAUGCACUCAUAAUAAUAAAUUGAUUUGGAGGCAAUAAAUUGGUCUUUGCAAAAGUUAGGGGUUCCCAUUUAGAGUAAAAAAAUAAAAGAAAAAAAAGGCAAACAAUGGUCAAAGAUGCUCCGCAGCUGUAAUUCACUCAUAAUAAGAAAUUAAUUAUUUAUAAAAUUAUAUCAAUCUCCUGCUUCAAAUAACGAAUUUAAUAGAUUAAUUCAGGCUACUUUAGGGUAAAAAUAAAAUAAGGGCAAACAAUGGUCAAAGAUGUGGGUCCAAGCCAAAGAAGUGCACCGGCUAAGCUCCUUUAUUGAAAUGGCUGCAUUUAGUGCACUAGUAAAAGCACAUAGAUUCCACCCAAAAAAAAAUAAAAUUAGUCCUGUUUAUCUGCUAGAAAUUAGUUUGUUUUAAAGUGAAUUUUAAAAAAAUAAAUUCUAGAAAAGUAAAUUAUUUUAUGAUAUUUGACAGUGUAAUGAAAAAUAAGUUGGAAAACACUUUCUAGUGUUCGGUUAUGUUAUGGAAAAUGAGCUGGAAAAUAACUUAUUAAUGUUUUAUUUUUCUCAAGUUUAUUAAAAUAACGAGGAACAAAUCUUACAAAUUAAAAGGUUGAAUGAGAAUGAAAUUAAAAAAAUAUAUAAUUUCAUAAAUUAUCUCAAAUAAAAUAAAUAAUAAUCAAAAUAAUAAAGAUCAAAUCUAAAAAAUAAAAAAAAUAAAAGAUGAAGAAAUUAUAAUAAUAAUAAUUAAUAUUUCAUAAAUUAUUUCAAAUAAAAUAAGUAACAAUUAAAAGAAUGAGGACCAAAUUUGAUACAUAAAAAAUUUCAAUAAAAAAAUAAUAAGAAAAAAGCAAAUAAAAUUUAAUUUUAAACCUAAAUAAAAUUUAUUAGCAUCAUCACUAUCAUAAUUGAAAACUCUUGUGAAAGUACAUAAGAUAGGAUUGUUUAUGCUAUUGUGCUUACUAUCAUAAUUUAAUUUUUUUUUUUAUCUCUGAUGCAUCUCAGAUUCUGAAAGAGACAUAACUUGCUUUUCUACAAGGAUUGUUUAUGCUAUUGUGUUUACUGCUGAGGAAGUUCUUGAGAAAGUAAAGGAUAGAUUCUUAAGAAGAUUUUUUCCAAAGUAAAAGAUUUGAUGAACAUCGUACAUUCGUUCCUUCAAUCACCACAGAGUAAGGAUAAAUUUUUAUUUGUUUUUUCUCCCUGGCCAUGGCCAUGCUCGAAAGAAAAUAUUUUAGGACUAGUUUGGGCCAUGGCCCAAACACUACUGGGCUUAUAGUCUAUUAAAACUCUUAAAAAUCCAUGAAUCCAGUAUCCCAGCAAAACCUUGAUAAACUCUCACCGUUACCUUUUUUAUAUGGUUUUGUUGUGUAAAGUUUGUUUGAUAGUAUAAUAAUUAUUAUUUUUUAAAGAAUUUUUUAAAAAUAAUAUAUUAAAAUAAUAUAUUUUUUUAUUUUUAAAAAAUUAUUUUGACUUCGUUACAUUAAAAUAAUAAGAAAAUACUAAAAUAUAUUAAUUUCAAGUAAACAAAAAAAUUUUAAAUUUUUAAAUUUUUAAAAAUACUUUUGAAACACAAAAACAAAACAAAAACUAAAACUAAAUAAUUAAAUAAGUUAAGAAUGUAACUUGAUUUGUUAAACAAUAUUUUCCCUCUUCAGCAGCUUGAGAUUUGGGUAUAUAAGUAAAGAUUAAGUAAUAACAUCUGUUCCACCCUAAUUUAAUUUAAAUUAAAAUGAUAUAAAAAAUCAAAACAAAUUUAAUUCAUAUCAGUAUAUUAAAAAAAAAUCAAGACAAAUUUAAUUUAAAGUAAAAUAAAUUUUUAAAAAAUAAAACUUCUAAAACAUACAUUUAAAAUACAAAAAUAAACAAGUUAUUACUCUGCUACGCAGCUGUAAUGCACUCAUAAUAAGAAAUUGAUUUGUAGGCAAUAAUUGACGAAAAAACAACUGUUUGCUCUGUUUGGUCUUUGCAAAAGUUAGGAAGUGCACCGGCUAAGCUCCUUUAAUGAAAUUGCUGCAUUUAGUAAAAGCACAUAAAUUCCACCAAAAAUAAAUUUCAAUGGUCAAAGAUAAGGGUCCAUGCCAAAGACAAUAAUUCAAACACAUAUCAGAAAAUAAGGCAGUUUUUUUUUUCCCCUGAUGUAGGGUAUUUUUAAAAUUUUUGUUUUAAAAAAAUAUAUUAAAAUAAUAUUUUUAGAUAUUGUUUUUCUUUAUAUUUGCCCAUUAAAAUAUUUAUAAAAUACUAAAAAUAUUAUUUUGAAUCUUUUUCAAAAUAUACUCAAAAGUUUGGAAAAGCCGGUCGAAUUACUCUCCUCAGUAGGGCUAAAAAAAUAAUGUUAGGGGUUCCCAUUUACUAUCAAUACUCAGAAUUUACUAUGCUCCGCAGCUGUAAUGCACUCAUAAUAAUAAAUUGAUUUGUAGGCAAUAAUUAACUCACUACAACACGAAAAAAACAACUGUUUGCUCUGUUUGGUCUUCGCAAAAGUUAGGAAGUGCAUCCAUUUUCUACGAACCCAUCCACAAACCAUUUUGAGUAAAAAAAUAAAAAUAAAAAAUAAAAAAAAGGGCAAACAAUGGUCAAAUAUAAUGUAUCAAAUAAGUUAAUAAUGUAUUUAAUUUAUUAUAUAUUAUUUUCCCUCCUCAACUUCACAAUUGGGUACAUAAAUUAAGAUUAAGUAGAUAACACGUAAGUAGGGUGGGAUUAUAGCUUCUUGGUCACCUACUCAAAAACAAUUAAGGAUUAAAUCGAUCGCUAAUAUAAUGAAGAAAAGAAAAGAAAGACAACAGGAGAACAACCAAUUAAACAAGCGAUCCAUGGAGCCAUUGUACAUUUUAAUUAAGAAGACUCAACGACUUCUCCUCUCCACUCAGAAAGCGGAACUCCACUUUAUAAAGUUGCGAUUAUAGUUUUGAAAAAAAAAAAGUGCGAACCAAGUGGCCUUAUUGCAAUGCUCUUUGGACGAUGGAACACACACACACAUAUAUACAGACAAGAAUGAUGACAAAAGGAGUAAGAAAUCAUUGCUUUUGCUUGAAAAAAUGAAUUGCUUAAAUUAAAUAUCCAGUCAUCGACUAUCAAUCUGAGUCAGACCCUAUCACCUAUAACAUGAACCAGGAUCAUGCUUUUGCGAAUUGUUGGAUGCAUCAACGGUCUACAAGCUAUGCCCGGCAAGACGUUGUAGAAUUCCCUCACAUAAUGUUUCUGGUGCAAUGCUACCAUAACCAAAUCCAUUCGAGGAUUCAGGCGAGCUCUGUUCUGGUUUGCUCGUUCAUUUUACUUGUUGAACAGAGUCGCGUUUUUUUUUUUUAAUUUAUAAAUUAGAUAUAAUUUUCAUGUAUUUCUUAAAACUUACACCAUUUUAAUUAUAUAAUUGUUCUCUAAAAUAAAAUUUUAAAUUGGCUCAAAAUGAGUUUUAAAUCAUAAGCUCUCAAAACCACCGAUUUUCCAAAACGACCCGUCAUUUGUCAGUUAUUGAUUCCAUUUCAUUUUUUCAUCAAACUCUCCCCAGGUCCCCAAACAACUUCCAUCAAGUGUGGUCAAUAGUCUUUGCAGAUAGUAUAGUGGGGCCUACAUGCACAACAGACUUUGAGAAAUGUUUGUCAGAAUUUAAGCAUUUGCGGUCUUUGGAAUUAAGGGAUGAUUUUGAAUUUGAGGCUUUUCCGGAGAGGAUUGGCACCUUGAAACAUUUGAGAUAUCUCAAUUUUUUUAACAACAAAAAAAUAAAAGGACUCCAGAAUCUCUUUUCAAAUUGCAAAAUUUGCAAGCUCUGGCUGUAGGUGAGGAGGGAUUACAAGAGCUGCCCAAAGAUGUGAGGUACAUGAUCAGCCUAAGAUUUUUACAUGUAGUUACUAAGCACAAGCGGUUGCCAGAAGGUGGGAUUGGGUGCUUGGAGUGUCUUCAAACUUUGUCCAUUUUUCGUUGUGAAAAUAUUAUUAAAUUCUAUGUUUGUCUAAUUUUCUUCAGCUGUCGUUGGGGUUAUAAUUCGGGGACUUCAAUUUGUUCGGUGUUGUUGCUGACAAUCUAGUUUGUUCAAAUAAAGAUGAAGAGUGUUUGCUGGAGAUUGAUAUUCGUUCUCUGUGUGCUUCGCUCGUAGUUCCUGCUGGUGAUGUACUCGGCUUUUCAUUUGUUCAUAAUGGCUGCCAAUCAGUUCAAAAGCUAAGUAUCAAUAUUCAAGGACUAUAUGUAAUGCAAUCAGGGAUAAAAUUGAGAAAAAAAAUGGUUGAAAUUUGCCAAAAAUGAAACAAUUAAACUUGGGGGACCUUUAAAUAAAUGAAAUUUUCCCUCACAUCAAAAUGUUGUCAUUUUAAAUAAUAAUAAAAAAAAUUAAAUGCAACGGAGUCAUUCUGAUGCCUCGCUUCACUACUAUUUGAUCGCUUUCCCUUGCUCCAAAUCUUUUAAGCAAAUCAUGGCUGGGAAGGCACCGAAAUCCUUUGACAGUGUGUCGUUAACGGUAUUGAUACUCCUAAAUCUGGGUAAUGUAAGCGACGUGUCGCUUGUUAUUUUUUUUAAAAGCAUUAAGAGUCAGUCGCCCUUUAAGAAGUUUUUUUUUUAAACAAGUCCCAGACAUUAGAGGCCUGGAAGCUCCUGAGCCUUUCUAGUUCGAGAGAUUGAGUUUUUUUUUAAAAUUUUCUUUUAUUAUAAUUGUAUUUUUUUUGUUGCUUAUUUAAUUUUUAAAUUUUAUUAUUUAUUAUUUAAUUGAUUAUUAAUUAGACAAUGUAAUUUAUUUUCGUUUGAUUUUUUUUUCAAUUAUUUUGAUAUUUUAUUAAUUCUUAAUUUUAUAGGUGAAACAUUUGAGACAUAUUUUUUUCACGGCGAACACAAAAAUAAAAAAUACUCCCAAAAUCUAUUUUCAAAUUACAAAAUUUGCAAGUUCUGGUUGUGGGUGAAGAAGGAUCAGAAGAGCUGCCCAAAGAUGAGAGGUACGUAAUCAGCCUUGGAUAUUUAGUCAUAAUUGCUGAGCAAAAGCGGUUGCCAGAAGGUGGGAUUGGGUGCUUGAAAUUUCUUCGAACUUUACUGAUCUAUGAGUGUGAAAAUCUACAAAAGAUGCUUUCUUCGUUGUUCCAUUGUUUCAAAAGAUUACUUCUUUUAUGAUGUCAUUUGAAUUCCGUAUGGGAUGAUGUAAAAUAAAUUUUAAAAAAUAUAUAAAUAUUAUUUUAAUAUAUUUUUAAAUAAAAAAAACUUUUUUAAAAAAUAAUUUUGAAUGUCAAAUAACAGCUUGGAACAUGCUGGCUUGCGUUAGGUGCCCGCGUUGAUCUCAAAAUGUUUCUUUUUAACUACAUUGAAUAAUAAGCUCUCAAAACCGCCAAUUUUCCAAACUAUAAAAAUAUUUGUCAGUUGUCGAUUCCAUUUCAUUUUUUUUUAAUCAAACUCUCCGGCACCAAGUCCCCAAAUGAGUUCGACCAUGUACAUUUACUUGUCUGAAAGCAAGGGGACCCUUCUCCACUUGGUCAAAUAUAGGCAGCCAUGAUUUUAACAUAUCCCGGAUUUCCAAUUGACAUCAAAUAUAAUGUAUUUAAUUUAAUAUAUAUUAUUUUCCCUCUUCAACUUCGAAUUUUAAGGAUUAAGUAGAUAACAAGUAGGGAGGAAUCAUAGCUUCUUGUUCAACUACUCAAAAACAAUUAAGGAUUAAAUCGAUCGCUAAUAUUAUGAAGAAAAGAUAAGAACGAGAACAACUUAUUAAACAAGCAAUGCAUGGAGCCAUCGUGCAUUUUAAUUAAGAAGACUCAACGACUUCUCCUCUCCACUCGGAAAGCGGAACUCCACUGAUCUUAUCUCAAUCAUUUUUUCCUACCAAACACUCCUCCCCUCACCCAAAAAGAAAAUGGCUGAAGCUUUUGCAUCCGAGAUUGCAAAAUCCCUUUUAGGGAAGUUAGGUUCUUUUGCUGUUCAAGAAUUUCGUUUGGCAUGGGGACUUGAAGAUGACCUUGCACGUCUUGAAGAGAGAUUGAAAGCCAUCAACGCGGUGCUGUCCGAUGCUGAGAAGCAACAAUCAAAGAAUGACAGGAUUCGGCUCUGGCUCCAUAUGCUCAAACAAGUCUUGUAUGAUGCCGAGGACGUGCUGGACGAAAUCGAGUGCGAAACUUUGCGAAGAGAGGUGGUGAAAACUACAGGGAGCACCAGCAGAAAGGUACGGCGCUUCUUUUCAAGCUCUAAUAAGAUUGCAUUCCGUUUAAGAAUGGGUCAUAAGAUAAAGAGCAUCAUAGAAAGACUAGCUGAGAUUUCAUCUCUUAAGUCUGACUUCAACCUCAGCGAGCAGGGUAUUGAUUGUAGUCAUGUCUUGCAUGAGGAAACAGGGAUGAACCGACCCUUUGAUAGCUUCUCCGGUCUUAUCGGAAGAGAUAAAGACAAAGAACGCAUCAUCAACCUUUUAGCAGAACCUUUUAAGGUUGGUGAUGCACAUCCCCUUGUCCUUCCGAUAGUAGGAAUGGGAGGCUUGGGGAAGACAUCUCUUGCCAAAUCGGUGUGUGAUGCUGAAAAUGUAAAAUGUCAUUUUGAACUGAAGAUGGAGGCAUGUGUUUCAGAUGAUUUUUCCUUGAAACAUGUGAUACAAAGGAUUAUUAAAUCUGCAACUGGGGAAAGAUGUGCGGAUUUGGAUGAGGGUGAACUUAAUAAAAAACUUGAAGAAAUUGUGAAGGGUAAGAAAUACCUGCUUCUUUUGGAUGAUGUAUGGAAUGAAGAUGCUCAAAAAUGGUUGUUGUUGAAGCCUUCGUUAUCAAAAGGUGCUGAUGGAAGUAAGAUUAUAGUAACUACCCGUAUUAAACGUGUUGCUGAGAUUAUGGGUACUGUUACUGCGUACUACCUAAGUCUUCUUGGUCAGGAGGCCUGUCUGUCGUUGUUUUACAAGUGUGCAUUCAAGGAAGGGCAAAUGGAGUUGUAUCCAAAUUUGGUUGGAAUUGGGAAAGAAAUAGUGGCAAAAUGCAAGCAAGUUCCUCUGGCAGUGAUUAACUUGGGGACUCAACUGUAUGGUAAAACUGAUGAAAAGGAGUGGGAAUCGGUGAGAGACAGUGAGAAGUGGGAAGAAGAGGGAGAUCGUAUUUUACCUGCCUUGAAAAUAAGUUAUCAAAGACUGCCGACACACCUGAAAAGAUGCUUUCUUUAUUGCUCCGUUUUUCCAAAAGAUUACCCAUUCUAUGAUAUCUCAUUGGUGCAUUUUUGGAUGGCACAAGGGCUCAUUCUCCCAUCAUCAAAUCCAAAUGAGAAACUGGAAGAUGUUGGCUUGCGUUAUGUGCGCGAGUUGAUGUCAAGAUGUUUCUUCCAAGAUUAUGAGGAUUGGGAUUAUGUUGCUUUCUUUAAAAUGCAUGAUUUAAUGCAUGAUCUUGCAUUAUCAUUGUCACAAAGUGAGUGUUCGAUCAUAGGCUCUCAAAACCAUCAAAUUUCCAAAACGACCCGUCAUUUGUCAGUUCUUGACUCUGAUUCAUUUUUUCAUAAAACUCUCCCCAAGUUUUCAAAUGAGUUCCACCAUGUGCGGUCAAUAGUCUUUGUAGAUAGUAUAAUGGGGCCUACAUGCAAAGCAGAUUUUAAGAAAUGUUUGUCAGAAUUUAAGCACUUGCGAUGUUUGGAAUUAAUGGAUGAUUCUGAAUUUGAGGUUUUCCCGGAGAGGAUCGGGGCGUUGAAACAUUUGAGAUAUCUCAAGUAUAGGUCCAACGCAAACAUGAAAAGACACCCAAAAUCUCUUUUCAAAUUACAAAAUUUGCAAGCUCUGGUUACAGGUUUUGGAUUAGAAGAGCUGCCCAAAGAUGUGAGGUACAUGAUCAGCCUUAAAUUUUUAAGUCUAGCUACUCAGCUGAAGCGGUUGCCAGAAAAAGGGAUUGGGUGUUUGGAGUGUCUUCAAACUUUAUUCAUUGUUGGUUGUGAAAAUCUAGAAAAUUUGUGCGAAGAUAUGGAAGGUCUUAAAAGUCUUCGGAAAUUGCUUAUUAGUAGCUGUGAAAGCUUGAUUUCUUUGCCACGAAGUAUCAAAUGCCUAACUACUCUUGAAGGAUUUUUUAUUAAUAACUGUAAAAAGCUUGAUUUAAUGACAAUAGAAGAAGAGAAAGAGAAAAAAAUUCAACCUCUUUUUCUUUCCCUUCGUAUUGUACUAUUUGCCAGCUUACCAGCAACUCUUGCUUUACCAGAACAGUUUCUUCAAGGAUCUGCAGAAUCUUUACAAACACUUAUCAUCACAGACUGUCCAAACAUUAGAGAAAUGCCAGAUUGCAUCGACAAUUUAAAGAAACUUCAAAAUCUUGAGGUCAUUGAUUGUCCAAGUUUGAGCAAAAGGUGCCAAAAGGGAACAGGAGAAGAUUGGCCCAAGAUCGCACAUAUCCCUAAAAUCAAGGUUGAUGAUGAUGACAGUGGUGAAGAAACAUCUGGUUAGGUACGAGUGAUGAAUAUUUAUAUCUAUCAUAGUUAGUUUCACUUCUUUAUCCAUUCUUCAAUUCCAUUUUUUUCCUUUUAAAUUCUUUUCAACGUUUAUUUGACAAAAACCUCUUGUGUUUUGGAGGGGCAGGUUCAAGUGGAACUCCAUCAAAUUUAACCCGAGCAAAAGAACAAGACAAGGCAUGUCGCAUGAUAAAAUGCAAAGUUAACUAAUUCAUUCAGCAAUUUAAAUUUCUUUGAACUCAAUACAUCAUUUUUAAAUUCUAUGUUUGUCUAAUUUCUUCAGGUUUACUACUGUGAGGGUCCUGUCGGCUAAGAUCUUCCAACAACAGUUUGUCACUUACGAAGAUCAGCUUAAGGCUCGGAGUGUCUGCUUUGUGUAAUUUCCUUGCCUAGCUGUGUGUGAUGAUUUGUCAUUGAUAAAUUGAUAAACAUUUUGUUGUUCUGAAUUAUCUUAUUUAAAAUAUUGUGUGUGAUCAUUUAAAUAAUUAUGCUUAACAUAUAAAUUCAUCCUUCUAAACAAACUAAAAACUGGAGUUGGGAGGACAAGGAGCAAGCUAUUUGUCUCUAAUAAUACAACAGUCAUCAAGAAAAAGAAAAUUGCUACCUAAUUAAGUUCAUGACUGACUUAUAUAUUUAGCUUAUUAAUUUUGAUUGAGUAGAGAUCUAGUUUAAUAAUUUUUUUUGUUGUAUAAAUAGUUGUAUAAACUUUUUAAAUUCUAUUUGAGAUUUUUUUAUGUAUAAAAACUGGUAAAAUUCUGCAAAUACACUUUUUUUAAAAAAAUAAAAAUUUGUUGAGGGUCAAAUAGCUAGAAAAGAUAUUCUUUCAUCUCUUGUGUACUUCUGCUUCUUUCCCACCCUUCUCCAAUAUUAAUGAAUCCAAACAACACGCGUGAAUCUAUUCUUUAUUUUUAAUGGGCUCGAACAUCUUGUUUAAGUCCAACACUGAUCAGAAAAUUUUUCUAGAACACCAUAUGGAUCCCUCAGUAUUUUUCAUUAAUUCUAUACAUAUUAUUUUAAAUAUAAUACAACUCAAAAUAUUAAAAUUAUAAAGUUACACUUUAAUCUUUUAUCUUCAUAAAAACACAAGAUUUAUAUGCUAUCAAUAUAUCUUCAAUCCUUUAUUUGAGGUGAAGUGUUUGAACUUUGAUCACUCAAACUCAUUAUUAAUUUAAUCACACAUCAAAUCUACAGUUAUAGAUGCUAUAAACGAUUAGCUAAAUACUAUUGAAAAACAAAGUUAUCUAUUUAGGAGUUUAACGAGAAUAUUAUUAUAUAAAUAUAAAUUUUUGUUCUCUAAGCUCACACUAUAAAAAUAUAGACUUUUUUCCUACAUAAAUAUACUAUUAAAUCUUGAAUCUUCAAAAAACAAUUUCGUGAUUGCUUUUCAUCAAUAGCUGGUUGUAUAUUUUUAUUUUAUUUUUUUUUCUUAUAAGAUAUAAAUGCAAAUUUCCUGAUUGUUUUUCACCAAUAGAAGGACUUUCUAUUAUAUUUUUAAAUCUAAUUUUAAACCUAAAUAAAAUUAAUUAGCAUCAUCACUAUCAUGAUUGAAAACUCUUGAGAAAGUACAUAAGAUAGGAUAGGUCAUGAUCAUCUUUGAUCAGAUGCCUCUCAGAGUAUGAGAGACACAUCACUUGUUUUUCUACGAGGAUUGUUUAUGCUACUGUGCUUACUGCUUAGGAAGUUCUAAGUAAACGAUAGAUUCUUAAAAAGAUUUGAUGACCAUCAUACAUUCGUUCCUUCAAAUCACCACAAAGUAAAGGAUAAUUUUUUUUUCUUUGUUUUUUUCUCCCUGGCCAUGCUCGAAGAAAAUAUUUUAGGCCUAGUUUAAUUUAAAGUAAAAUAAAUUUUAAAAAAUUAAAAUAUCUAAAACAUACAUAUAAAAUACAAAAAUAAACAAGUUAUUACUCCGCUGCGCAGCUGUAAUGCACUCAUAAUAAGAAAUUGAUUUGUAGGCAAUAAUUGAAAAAAAAACAACUGUUUGGUCUUUGCAAAAGUUAGGAAGUGCACCGGCUAAGCUCCUUUAAUGAAAUAGGUGCAUUUAGUAAAAGCACAUAAAUUCCACCAAAAAGAACUUUUAAAAUUAAAAUACAUUUCAAUCGUCAAAGAUAAGGGUACAUGCCAAAGACAAUAAUUCAAACACAUAUUCGAUAAUAGAUGGUUAUAAAAUUAAAUAUUAAUCUAAAAAUAAAUAUUUAUUUAAAACAAUUAUUUUAAAAAAACAAACAAAAAUAAAUAAUGCAAUCCAUUUCUUAACCAAUCCAAUAUUAAAUCAUAAAAUUAAGAAGAAAUAAAUUAAAAGACCAAAAACAAAAACAAAAUAUCAUAUCGGUGAGUAAACUUGUCAAACCUAUGAAUCGGGUAAGCCGGGCUAGGAUGUCAAACCUGUGAAUUGAGUUAUGGACUCCACGAGGAUUAUAAAAAAAAUUAUAAUCUAUUUUUUAUUUAACUAUACAAAUAACAAAAAUAAAGGAUUAUAAAAUCAAACACAAUCCCAAUACUGAGAUGUUUUUUAGAUUACGAUAAUCUCAUAAAAGGUAAAAUGAAACCAAUUAAGAAACUAAAUUCCCAAUUAAUUUAGUAUCUAAGGAUGGAAAAAAAACUAAUUUAAAAAAGUUAAACUUGCUAGACCCGCAAUCAAGUCAAUCAACCAAAUUUGUGAAUUGACCCACGGAUUUUAUAAAGUUUAAUAAUAUAACUUUUUUCUGAAACUUUUUUUUUAACUAUAUGAGAAGAAAAUAGACGAUAAAAAAAUUUAAGUUCAAUUAAAAAAAGACACUACACUAAACUCGUAAAUCAGGGCAACCAGGGUUACCCUAGCAAACCCGCAAACUAUGCUAACCUUAUAAAAAGGUAAAAUAAAAAGAAACAAAUUAUGAAGCCAAAUUCUUAAGCAUCUCAAUAUUAAAAGAUAAAAUCGACAAAAAUAAAUUUGAAAAAACAAUCAUGACACAAAUUCAAAAACAUAAAGAAAAAAAGCAAAACACCGUAGGUUACUAUUGUCAUUUACAGUGCAAUGCGUGUGGGUGAACAAUGGUUUCCUCACACCCUUUAAUUUUUGUUACUUUAUAAAAUUUAAUAAUAUGAUUUUUCUCUAAGACUAUUUUUUAACCAUACGAGAAAAAAAUAGACUAUAAAAAAGGUUAAAUUCAAUUAAAAAAAAGGCAACUCAUCAAACUUGUAAACCAGACUAACCUAAUUUACUUUAACAACCCCGCAAACCACAUUAAUCUCAUAUAAAAAAAUAAAAAGAAGCAAAUUACGAAGCUAAAUUCUUUAUAAUGUUAAUUUAAAAGAUGAAAUCAACAAAAAUAGAUUUGAAAAAAAAAUCAUAACAAAAAUUUAAAAAAACACACACAAAAAAAAGUAAAACAUUGUGGAUUACUAUUGUAAUUCACAGUGCAAUUGGGAGAACAGUGUUUUCCCUCAUAUCAUUUAAUUUUUGUUAUUUCAUAAAGUUUAAUAACAUAGUUUUUCUCUAGAACUAUUUUUUUUACAAUAUGAGAAAAAAUAGAAUAAAAAAAUCAAGUUCAAUUAAAAACCCACCAAAUAUAUAAACUGAGACAAUCUUUGCUAUUUCGAUAAACCAACAAACCAUGCUAACCUCAUAGAUAGAAAAAAUAAAAUGAAAAAAAAAUUUUUGACCAGGCUUUUUUUCAUAUGUAGGCUUCCAAAAGUUUUUUUUUUUCAAACAAAGUUAAUGGGUUUUGAAUUAAAUCAAGUCAAAUUACUCUUAUUUUUUUUUUAAUCUCGACCUGUCCAGGCUCCUAAUUAGUUAAAUUUCAGGAUGACUUGUCAAGCGAGUUCAUAUUUUAAAACUAUACUUUUAAGUUUUAACAUAUGAUAUCAAACCCGUGUUUCUUUGGCUCUUCCUCCACCAUAACAGCCUUCAUACUAUCCUGCUCAACAAGUCUCCAAGCAGCUUGCUCAAAAGCCAAUCCAGCCAUGUUGGCGGCUUAUUCACACAAGCGGAUACCCUCUAUCAGUACACUCCUAAUCACCUCCGUAUCCUCCGGAAUCACACCCAACAAUGCCAACCCCAGCAUUUCCUUGCACAUCCAGCACCGACAUCAUAUCUGCAUCGCGCUAGCUAGUAAUGUUAGGAGUUGUUACCAGAACAGCCACCUUUGCCUAAUGAGUCCUACAUUGGAAGUUGUGGUGAUUUUUCCAACACCACCUUUUCCGGAUGUUAUAACGAAAACUCUUGGGGCUUCGCCGGCUAGUUCAGGCUUUCUGUUCCUUUGUAGGACUGAUUGGAUUGAGGGCUAGUUCAGGCUUUCUGUUCCAUUGCAGGACUGAUUGGAUUGAGGGGUUUGAGUGAGGUUUGAAGGGCUUUGUUAGCGUUUGGGUUUUGGGUUUGAAUGGGGUUAGGGAAUGGAGGAAAGAAAGGCUUUGUGGUUGUGGGUAAGGGUUUUAGUGUCAGCAUUGUUUGCUAAGUGUAUGUGUUUUUGUCUCUGAGCAAGUGAGAAUAAGAGAGGACGGUUGGUUUUGGAGUUGAGACUUGAGAUUGAUCUAAAAAAAAAGUAAAAUUAAAUUUUAAUUUUUUAAAAUAUAAAAACAAACGGUGUCCUAUCCAAUUAGGAAACAAAGGAGCAAGUAGAUUCAGCCUUUUGGGGUUAAUUUAGUUUCACAUCCUUGAACUUUUAUGUUUUUUCUAAUGCGUCACUCUGUAGAAUAAUUGUUUUAAUAUAACCCUCCUCCUAAACCUAUACCCUUUGAUACUUAAUCGGGCCCUUCUGUCCAAUUUUAGGCAUUUAAUGUACAUUAUUAGGUGAGAGAAAUAGUCAUGUUAACUUUUAACCAUGUAAAACCGGAACCAAGAUAGGAAUAAAAAGAGUCAAUUCAAUUUUUUUAAACAUCAAAACAAUAUAGUUUUGAUUAAAAACUUUUUUUUUUCAAAACAAAAUUACUUAGUUGAGAGCUAAUUUUAAUUAGGUUUUACAUUAUGUCAAUCAAAUAGCAAGUCAAUGUGAGUUUUCGACUAGAUCAAGUUGAGUUAUUCUAAUUUUUUUUUAAUCCUAACUAGUUUAGGCUUCUAAUCAAUUAAGUUUCUAGUUAUCUUGUCGACCGCGUCUAGGUUUUAGAACUAUGCUCUUAACAUAUGAUAUUGAAUACAAGUAAUUGAUUGAGUUAUGGAAGUUAGGAUUGAGGAGGGUUUCAUUAUGAAAAUUAAUUGAUGGAGGGUCAUAUAAAAAGAACAGAAAGAAGGGAAACACAAGCUAAUUAAUUUGAGAUUGGGAAAUUGUACAAGUUGUGGGAUUUUUUUUGGUUAAGUAGAUGAUGAGUUCCAUGUGUGAAGCUUAAGCACAGUUAUUUUGGGUCUAUCUGGGUGGUGUGUAGGUGAACUUUAUUCCUCAAGUCUCCACAGCUCGAGAGCAAGAAUAAUGCCAAACUUGUGUAGCAUUUGAUUUCAAGUGUUUAUUGCUUGUUUUUACAACUUCAUAAUGUUCAUAGUGCUAAGGCUUGAGCUCAAUUGUUCAUUGGAAGUUAAGCCCAAUAUAAAGGUAAGGCCAUGAGUUAAAGAGUCGAUAUCGAGUUUGCUCAAUUUUGUAUUAAAAAAAUUAUCUUAAUUUAUUUUUUAAAAUUAAACUAGAGAGCAAAAUUAGACUGUUCAAAUCAAUUUUACUUUUAUUGAAAUUGUAUAAUUUCAAAUAGGUCCAACAUAAAGUUUGACUCUUUAAAAUUUUGUAUGUUAGAAAACAAAUGGGUUGUUUUGUUCAAUUUGAAUAUAUAUAUAUAGUCUUAUCUUUUUUUAGUUUGUUUAUUAAUUUUUGGUUUUUUAUUUUCAAAAUCUAAAAAUGAACAAAAUUAUUUUUAAAUUAGUUUUCUUGGUUGGAAUUCUCUGAUUGAUUAUCUCAGUUAAUUUUAGAUUAAUUUUUAUGAAUGUUCUAAAUAAUUUGAUUAUAUUUCUCACCCUCACAUUGAAUUAAUAAUGCAAUAAUAACAACCAUCUAGGUGGUAGUUCAGUGGUAAGAGCUUGGAACCAAGAGGUUUGCUCCUUCUGUGAUCUCAGGUUCGAGCCCUGUGGUUGCUCAUAUGAUGACAUUAGUGCAAUUAGGAGAACAAUGGUUUCUCUUGUAUCCUUUAAUUUUUGUUAUUUCAUAAAGUUUAAUGAAAACUAUUUUUUUAACAAUAUAAAAAAUAUAUAAUAAAAAAAUCAAGUUCGAUUAAAAACCCACCAAAUCUAUAAACUGAGAUAACAUGUGUUGUCUCGAUAAACCCGCAAACUAUACUAACCUCAUGAUAGAAAAAAUAAAAGGAAAAAAAAUUAUAAAAUUAAAUUUUCAACCAUCUCAAUAUUAAAAAAUAAAAUCAACAAAAAUAUUUUAAAAAAAAACAAAAAAUAUGAAAAAAAAACCAUAUAUAUAAAAAAACCAACGUAAAAAAACAUUGUAACAGUACAAUACUUUUCCCAUGUCCUUUAGGUUUUCUUUGUAAUAAUGGGUGACUCUGUACAUUUACUUGUAUAAAAGCAAAGGGACCCUCGCAGGUCCAUGUGUUUCAUGUUUGAAAGUAAGUUACCAAAGACUGCCGACACCCUUGAAAAGAUGCUUUCUUUAUUGUUACAUUUUUUCAAGAGAUUAUCAGUUAUAGGAUGUUAAAAAUAUUUUUUAUAAAAUAAAAAAAUAUAUCAUUUUAAUUUACUUUGAACUAAAAAAGAUAUUUUAAAAAAUAAUUACUCCUCUUCUCCUAGUUCAUACAAUUUUGGAUGGCACAUGCAUUCAAUCAUCGAAUCCAAAUGAUAACUUGGAAGAUGCUGGCAUGUGUUAUAUGCGCGAGUUGAUCUCAAGAUGUUUCUUCCAAGAUUAUGAUGAUUUACCUUUUUUUCUCAAGCUUUAAAAUGCGCGAUCUUGCAUUAUCAUUGGCUCAAAAUAAGUGUUCUUGACUCCAUUUCAUUUUUUCAUCAAACUAAUCCAAAGUCCCCAAAUGAGUUCGAGCAUGUGUGGUCAAUAUUCCAUGGGAGAAGCUACAACACAAUUGCACUACUUGUAAAUUUAUUCCUUUUGACUUUUCAUCCCUUAAUUUUAUGAUCAAGAAGACUCAAUGACUUCUCCUCUCCACUCAGAAAGCGGAACUCCACUCUUAUCUCAAUCAUUUCUUCCUAUCAAACACUUCUCCCCUCACUCAUAAAGAAAAUGGCAGAUGCUUUUACAGCCGAGAUUGCAAAAUCCCUUCUAGGGAAAUUAGGCUCCUUUUCUGUUCAAGAAUUUUGUUUGGCAUGGGGACUUGAAGCUGACGUUGCUCGUCUUGAAAAGAGAUUGUCAGCCAUCACCGCAGUGCUGUCCGAUGCUGAGCAGAAACAAUCAAAGAAUGACAAGAUUCGGUUCUGGCUCAACGAUCUCAGAGAAGUCUUGUAUGAUGCCGAGGACGUGCUGGACGAAAUCGAGUGCGAAACUUUGCGAAGGCAGUUGGUGAAAACAACAGGGAGCACCAGCAGAAAGGUACGGCGCUUCUUUUCAAGCUCUAAUAAGAUUGCAUUCCGUUUAAGAAUGGGUCAUAAGAUAAAGAGCAUCAUAGAAAGACUAACUGAGAUUUCAUCUCUUGAGUCUGAGUUCCACCUCAGCGAGGAGGCUAUUGAUCGUAGCCAUGUCUUGCAUGAGGAAACAGAGAUGAACCGAUCCUUUGAGAGCUUUUCCGGUCUUAUCGGAAGAGAUGAAGACAAAGAACGCAUCAUCAACCUUUUAGUAGCACCUUUUAAGGUUGUUGAUGCACAUCCCCUUGUCCUUCCGAUUGUAGGAAUGGGAGGCUUGGGGAAGACAUCUCUUGCCAAAUCGGUGUGUGAUGCUGAAAAUGUAAAAAGUCAUUUUGAACUGAAGAUGGGGGCAUGUGUUUCAGAUGAUUUUUCCUUGAAACAAGUGAUACAAAAAAUUAUUAAAUCUGCAACUGGGGAAAGAUGUGCGGAUUUGAAUGAGGGUGAGCUUAAUAAAAAACUUGAAGAUAUUAUGAAGGGUAAGAAAUACCUGCUUCUUUUGGAUGAUGUAUGGAAUGAAGAUGCUCAAAAAUGGUUGUUGUUGAAGCCUUUGUUAUCAAAAGGUGCUGAUGGAAGUAAGAUUAUAGUGACUACCCGUAGUCAACGUGUUGCUGAGAUUAUGGGUACUGUUGCUGCGUACAACCUAAGUCUUCUCGGUCAAGAGGACUGUCUGUCGUUGUUUUACAAGUGUGCAUUCAAGGAAGGGAAAAUGGAGUUGAAUCCAAAUUUGGUUGGAAUUCGGAAAGAAAUAGUGGAGAAAUGCAAGCAAGUUUCUCUGGCAGUGAUUAAUUAACUUGGGGACUCAACUGUAUGGUAGGACUGAUGAAAAAGAGUGGGAAUCGGUGAGAGAUAGUGAGAAGUGGGAAGAAGAGGGAGAUGGCAUUUUACCUGCCUUGAAAAUAAGUUAUCAAAGACUGCCGACACACCUGAAAAGAUGCUUUCUUUAUUGCUCCGUUUUCCCAAAAGAUUACCCAUUCUUUGAUAUCUCAUUGGUGCAUUUUUGGAUGGCACAGGGCUCAUUCUCCCAUCAUCAAAUCCAAAUGAGAAAUUGGAAGAUGUUGGCUUGCGUUAUGUGCGCCAGUUGAUCUCAAGAUGUUUCUUCCAAGAUUAUGAGGAUAUGAUUGUUGGAGCUAACUUUAAGAUGCAUGAUUUAAUGCAUGAUCUUGCAUCAUCAUUGGCUCAAAAUGAGUUUUCAAUCAUAAGCUCUUAAAACCAUUAAAUUUCCAAAACGACCCGUCAUUUGUCAGUUCUUGUCUCUGAUUUAUUUUUUCAUAAAACUCUUCCCAACUUCCAUCAAGUGCGGUCAAUAAUUUAAAUUUAUUUGAACUUAAAACAUCAUUAUUAAAUUUUAUAUUUGUCUAAUUUUAUCUUUAGGUUUAAUGUGAGGAUCCUUCGGCUAAGAUCUUUUACAACAGUUUAUCACUUACGAAAAUCAGCUUAAUGCUCGGAGUGUCUGCUGUGUGUGAUGAUUUGUCAUUGAUAAAUUGAUAAACAUUUGGUUUUUUUAAAUUAUUGGCUUGCCUCUUUAUCUUAUUUAAAAUAUUGUGUGUGAUGAUUUAAAUAAUUAUGCUUAACAAAUAAAAUAUUGCGUGUCAUAUAAUUCUACUUGUUUUGUCCAUGGCCCAAACACUACUAGGCUCAUGUCUUAUUUAAAGUUUAUAAUUUUUUUUAUUUUUUUGGGUUGCGGUAUAACUUAUUUUUUAUUAAAUUUUAAUUUUUUUAAAAUUUUAAUAUAUUUAUGCAAAAAUAUCUAACACACUCCAAAACCAUUCCUUAAUCCCAUUUUUACAAACACUACUGGGCUAAUGACUUAUUAAAAGUUUAUAAUUUUUUAGAUUUUUUUCUUUUUCUGUUAAACCCAUUUUUCAUCCAUUUUAAAAAUUUCUCCAGUACACACCUUCCUUCGCUAUUCUUGCGCAAUCUCCACCGUCGGUAAAAACCUCCCCUCUCUCUUUCUCUAAGCUAAUUACUUAACCAUGUUUUAAUCAUUUUCACUUUUGCUGACAGAUUGCAUGAACCGUCGCGGAUUAAAAAUUCUCUCUCAGAACCCAUCAGUAAACUCUGAUUCUAACUAUCAGAAAUCACUCGAAGUAAAUGAAGUUACUUUUAUUAUUAUUAUUUUUAAUUUAUGUGUUAAUUUGUGAUUUAGUGAAUAAGUUAAAGUUUUGAUUUUGAGUGAAUUUAAUUAAUUAAAUCGGCAAAGAGGGUAUUGAAAUCAUGUAGAAAAUGAAGGAUUUUAUGUGAAAGCUAGGCAAUUUUUUUUUAUUUGCUUGUGCACGUUUGUGUAUUUUCAAUUUUGAAGAAUUUAUGUCUGUUUCGUAGGCUAAUUUUUUGGAUUAGGUAUAAUGUAGGCAGUUCCUAGUAGUUUCAACGAUGUAAAAUAAGUUCUUGAAAUUAAGCAAUUUGGGUUGAUGUUUAACGGAGAUUUGUGUUUCGGUUCUGUAUUUUCUUUGUUUUUCUUUUCUUAGAUGUUGAAGGUGAAAAUGUUUUGUUGAAUUAUGGAAUUUUUUUUUAUGUAAAUGACAGCUGCUUCGUCAAUUGCCCAGCUGAUGUUUAACGGGCAUCUUGCAAUGUUGAGAGAUUGUCAAGCAGUAGCAGUCAAGGUUGGUUGGUGCGGUGUCAGUCUAAGUUAGUCAACUUAUUAUUAUGGGCUGGGUUUUGUUAUAGCAACAAGAUGAUAUUUGUGAAUAAAUUAGGAAGUUUAAGAGUGUUUUGAACUGUUGAUGAUGCAAUGCAUUUAGGCUAUCGAUCCUUUCAUAACUUGUUUCAAAUUUUAUGUAUCUAUGUUGUUGAAUCUUUGCUUACCUUCCAAUAUUAUAGCUGCAUGUGACUGAAUGCCGGGAUUCUUCCUCUAUCUUUCCUGUAUCUGUUUUUAUUUCGCUUCGGAAAAGUAAACUUUUUGCCAUACAGUUUUAUAUUAGAUAUGAUAUUUCAGUGAUUUGAUUCUUUCAAUAAAGUCGACGAUUGCAUUAGGAGAAUCUCUGUGAUAUUCUCUGAUGAAUGUGAAACAUCCCCUUUCCAUACCUUCUUUAUAUAUGUUAGAAAAUUUUCUAGUUUUUAGAAACUUCAUGGAUGCUUGUGCUAGAUGACUUGAUAUAUUUCUGUUUCUUAUAUUUCUAUGUACAUAUUAUUAAAAUAAUUCUCAAAUUAAUCUCCCAUUGAAGUUAACCUAACUCUAAUUACAUCUUCAUUCUUCGGACAAUUAACGGAACUUAUCCUUGCAAACCAAGAGAGAAGGGAGGACUCAAGUUUGAUGGAUUCAUAAUGCCAAAGUAAACUUAGAACUCAACAUUUUGUCAUAAAAAUAGGGUUUUAGAUCUCUGUUAUAUUUAUCUACUCUACCUGAGGCAAGCAACACUCUUGCAAAUCGCUCUCCUCCUUGAACCUAUUGAACUCAGUUCUUUGAAAGCUUAUGCAGACAAUUGCUUCCUCCAGUAACCUUUUCUCAUUUUUUUCUGAUUUGUCAUUCUUAAAUCAAAUGUUCUUCUUGAAAUUUUCAGUCAUUGAGUUAGCCUUGUCUAUAAUGCAAAACUAAACAUGCAUGCUGUUUUUGCUACUGAGAGUUUAAAAACAUAAUUAAAUCUGUAUCUAAUCAGGUUGUGAUUGAAUGCCAACUGAAGUUUGAUUUUGUCCAUGAUUUUAUUCCUCUCCCCGACACAAUUAAAAUGAUAGGGUUAGGGUUAGGGUGCAGCUAUGCACAAAGCAUCAAUCCUCGUUUCGUUUCAACUUUCCAUUAUAUUUUCUAAUUUGCUCAAAAUCAAUCAUACUCCUCAAAUGGUUCCUCCCAUCUGCACAUUUCAUUUCUAUGACCAUAUAUGAUACAUUCAUUCCCUCAAUCUUUUCUUCGUGUUUUCACAAUAACCAAAAAUUAAUUAACAAUACAUCAUCACUAUAUGAUCUUCAGAAGGACAUGAUCAUCUCAGAUUCUGAGAGAGAGAUCACUUGCUUUUCUACAAAGGUUGUUUAUGCUAUUGUGCUUACUGCUUAGGAAGUUCCAAGUAAGGGAUAGAUUCUCAGGAAGAUUGUUUCCAAAGUAAGAGACAAAUGAAAGAAUAAGGGAAUGUCAUGAACAAAAAUUGCAGGCGUUUGUUUCGCCUUUACAUGCAUACUCAUAGCUAGAAAUCAAGAGGUUAAUUUGCCAUUCUGCAAACAUAACUUCACUUGCAUCUUAAUCAUUUUUCCUAUCAACCAAUUCUCCUCUCUCCACUCAAAAAGAAAAUGUCAGGAGCUUUAGCAUCCAGCAUUGCACAAUCCCUUCUAGGGAAGCUAGGCUCAUUUGCUGGUCAAGAAUUUUGUUUGGCAUGGGGACUUGAAGCUGACAUUGCUCGUCUUGAAAAGAGAUUGUCAGCCAUCACCGCAGUGCUGUCCGAUGCUGAGCAGAAACAAUCAAAGAAUGACAAGAUUCGGUUCUGGCUCAACGAUCUCAGAGAAGUCUUGUAUGAUGCCGAGGACGUGCUGGAUGAAAUCGAGUGCGAAACUUUGCGAAGGCAGGUGGUGAAAACAACAGGGAGCACCAGCAGAAAGGUACGGCGCUUCUUUUCAAGCUCUAAUAAGAUUGCAUUCCGUUUAAGAAUGGGUCAUAAGAUAAAGAGCAUCACAGAAAGACUAGCUACGAUUUCAGCUCUUAAGUCUGAGUUCAACCUCAGCGAGCAGCCUAUUGAUUGUGGUCAUGUUUUGCAAGAGGAAACAGAGAUGAACCGAUCCUUUGAGAGCUUUUCCGGUCUUAUCGGAAGAGAUGAAGACAAAGAAUGCCUCAUUAACCUUUUAGCAGAACCUUUUAAGGUAGGUGAUGCACAUCCUUAUGUCCUUCCGAUAGUAGGAAUGGGAGGCUUGGGGAAGACAUCUCUUGCCAAAUCGGUGUAUGAUGCUGAAAAUGUAAAAAGUCAUUUUGAUCUGAAGAUGGAGGUGUGUGUUUCAGAUGAUUUUUCCUUGAAACAAGUGAUACAAAAGAUUAUUAAAUCUGCAACUGGGGAAGGAUGUGUGGAUUCGGAUGAGCGUGAACUUAAAAAAAAACUUGGAGCGAUUCUGAAUGGUAGGAAAUACUUGCUUCUUUUGGAUGAUGUUUGGAAUGAAGAUGCUCAAAAAUGGAUGUUGUUGAAGCCUUUGUUAUCGAAAGGUGCUGCUGGAAGCAAGAUUAUAGUAACUACCCGUAGUCAACGUGUUGCUGAGAUUAUGGGUACUGUUACUGCAUACAACCCAAGUCUUCUAGGUCAAGAGGACUGUCUGUCGUUGUUUUGCAAGUGUGCAUUCAAGGAAGGGGAAAAGGAGUUGUAUCCAAAUUUGGUUGGAAUUGGGAAAGAAAUAUUGGCAAAAUGCAAGCAAGUUCCUUUGGCAGUGAUUAACUUGGGGACUCAACUGUAUGGUAAAACUGAUGAAACAGAGUGGAAAUCGGUGAGAGAUAGUGGGAAGUGGGAAGAAGAGGGAGAUGGCAUUUUACCUGCCUUGAAAAUAAGCUAUCAAAGACUGCCGACUCCCUUGAAAAGAUGCUUUCUUUAUUGUUCGGUUUUUCCAAAAGAUCACCCGUUCCUAGAUAUCUUAUUGGUGCAAUUUUGGAUGGCACAUGGGCUCAUUCUUCAAUCAUCAAAUCCAAAUGAGAACUUGGAAGAUGUUGGCUUGCGUUAUGUGCGCGAGUUGAUCUCAAGAUGUUUCUUCCAAGAUUAUGAGGAUAAGAUGUUUGGAGCUACCUUUAAGAUGCAUGAUUUAAUGCAUGAUCUUGCAUCAUCAUUGGCUCAAAAUGAGUUUUCAAUCAUAAGCUCUCAAAACCACCAAAUUUCCAAAACGACCCGUCAUUUAUCAGUUCUUGACUCUGAUUCAUUUUUUCAUAAAACUCUCCCCAAGUUUCCAAACAACUUCCAUCAAGUGCGGUCACUAGUCUUUGCAGAUAGUAUAGUGGGGCCUACAUGCAAAACAGACUUUGAGAAAUGUUUGUUAGAAUUUAAGCAUUUGCGGUCUUUGGAAUUAAUGGAUGAUUUUGAAUUUGAGACUUUUCCGGAGAGGAUUGGCGCCUUGAAACAUUUGAGAUAUCUCGGUUUUGGCUGGAACACAGAAAUGGAAAGACUCCCAAAAUCUCUUUUCAAAUUACAAAAUUUGCAAGCUCUGGUUACACCAGGUGAAGGAUUAGAAGAGCUGCCCAAAGAUGUAAGGUACUUGAUCAGCCUUAGGUUUUUACUUCUAGUUACUAAGCAGAAGCGGUUGCCAGAAGGUGGGAUUGGGUGCUUGAAAUUUCUUCGAACUUUACUCAUUGUUCGGUGUGAAAAUCUUGAAAAUUUGUGCGAAGAUAUGCAAGGUCUUAGAAGUCUUCGGAAAUUGGUUAUUUAUGAAUGUAAUAGCUUGAUUUCUCUGCCACUAAGCAUAAAAUGCCUAACUACUCUAGAAGAAUUUUGUAUUAAUGGCUGUGAAAAGCUUGAUUUGAUGACAAUAGAAGAAAAGGAGGAAAAAGUUCAACCUCUUUCUCUUUCUCUUCGUAUUGUAAUAUUUGAAGAGUUACCAACAACUUUUGCUUUACCAGAACAACUUCUUCAAGGAUCUGCAGAAUCCUUACAAACAUUCAUCAUCAUAGAGUGUUCAAACAUUAGAGAAAUGCCAGAUUGCAUCGGCAAUUUAAAGAAACUUCAAAAUCUUGAGAUCAGUGAUUGUCCAAGUUUGAGCAAAAGGUGCCGAAGGGGAACAGGAGAAGAUUGGCCCAAGAUCAAACAUAUCCCUAAAAUCGAGGUUGACAGUGAUGACAGUGAUGAGGAGAAUACAGGUAGCAGCAGCAAACCAUAUUUAAAUCUAUCAUAUUUAGUUUUACAUUUUUAUCCAUUCUUCAAAUAUUCCUUUUUUCGUUUAAAUUAUUUUCCCUGAAAACAAUAUUAGCUUUGAAAAAAAAAAACUGACAAAACCUCUUGUGUUUUGGAGAGGCAGGUUCAAGUGGAACUCCAUCAGCAAGAGAAGAAGACAAGGUAUGUCAUGAUAAAAUGCAAAAAGUUGACUAAUUCAUUCAGCAAUUUAAAUUUCUUUGAACUUAAUACAUCAUUUUUAAAUUCUAUGUUUGUCUAAUUUUUUUCAGCUUUCAUUGGGGUUUCUGCUGACGGUUAUAAUACGGGGACUUCAAUUUUUUCGGUGUUGUUGCUGACAAUCUAGUUUGUUCAAAUAAAGAUGAAGAGUGUUUAAUUUGCUGGAGAUUAAUAUUCGUUCUCUGUGUGCUUUGCUCGUAGUUCCUGCUGGUGAUGUACUUGGCUUUUCAUUUGUUCAUAAUGGUUGCCAAUCAGUUCAUUUGCUGGUCAUGGAAUUUGCUCCCUCGUUGUUGAACUUAAUACAUCGUUGCUGGUGAUGUGAGGGUCCUGUCGGCCAAGAUCUUCUAUGACAGUUAGUCUCUUGGUUAUUGGAGGAUGUGAUAGCUUGAUUUCUUUGCCACGAAGCAUAAAAUACCUAACUACUUUGGAAGAAUUUUAUAUUAUUGAUUGUGAAAAGCUUGAUUUGAUGAUAAUAAAAGAAAAAAAUCAACCUCCUUCCCUUCCUCUUCGUAUUGUAAUAUUUAGAAACUUACUAGCCACUCUUGCCAUACCAGAACAGCUUCUUCGAGGAUCUACAGAAUCCUUACAAACAUUUAUCAUUACGGACUGUCCAAACAUUGAAAAAAUGCCAGAGUGCAUCGGCAAUUUAAAGAAACUUCAAAAACUUGAGAUCACUCGUUGUCCAAGGUUGAGCAAAAGGUGCCAAGAGGGAAAAGGAGAAGAUUGGCAUAAGAUCAAACAUAUCUCUAAAAUCGUGUUAAAGGAAAGAUGAUUAUACGAUGUAAUUGAGAGUGAUCAUAGCUUCUAUAAUUGUCAAUCCUUUUAUUCUGUGUAAUUAUAGUAUGUAACCGUUAUUAGCUUAGCUGUAGGAUCUGCUGUUAAUAUCAGCUUGUUUAUAGGAAUUGCUUUCCUAUAAUAGCAUGUAGGUUCUGUAUAAAUCCUCACCUUGUAUACUGUUACAACACAUCAAUGAAAUAUACAUAUUCUCAAUUUAUUAUGGUAUCAGAGCACCGAUCUUGGUGACUCCUCCACCCUUCCGCAACCAUAUACACCAUAGAUAUUUCACAAACACCAUGACAGAACAGAGCAAUAACACCAAACCAGAUGGGAAUCCCGUGGAAAUCACAGACCCAUAUGCCAUACACAGUUCAGAUCAUACUGGACUCAUCCUGGCAACCAAACCACUUGAUGGAGAUAACUAUGGGCAAUGGAGCCGUGCCAUGUACAUGGGUCUCAGCGCAAGAAACAAGAUUGGAUUCAUUGAUGGGACCAUUAAAGCACCACCAAUACAGGAUCCGAAAUAUGCAGGCUGGAAAAGAUGCAACGAUAUGGUGACACUGUGGAUCAUAAACUCAGUUCACUCAGACAUUGCGAGCAGCAUUAUGUACACUGAAUCUGCUGAUGCAGUUUGGAACGACCUCAAGGAGAGAUUCUCACAAAGCAGCGACUCAAGGAUCUACCAGAUUCGACAAGAGAUUGUUGAAAAUCGUCAAGGGCAGCUCUCGGUGUCUUCUUAUUAUACCAAGAUGAAAGCCUUGUGGGACGAAUUAGCAUCAUACCAUGACCCACUCAUCUGCACUUGCGCAGGUUUAAAGGGACUGGCUGAAAGAGAUGAAAAGGAAAGAGUCAUGCAGUUCUUGAUGGGAUUAAAUGAAUCCUACUCAGCAAUACGAGGCUCGAUUCUGAUGAUGAGCCCACUCCCUGAUACACGGCGAGUCCAUGGUCUCAUUCUUCAACAUGAGAGGCAGAUGGACGUUGCCAACCGUCGAGACAUGGGAACGACACCACAUGCAAUGCAGGUACAACGAAAUCCAAUGCCACCAUCAUUCAACAGGAAGCCCUUCUACACACCAUCACGAAAACCACUUAAAUGUACCCACUGUGACGGAGAGGGACACUUAGUGGACCGAUGCUACUAUAUUAUUGGGUUCCCAGAAGGGCACAAAUGGCAUGGCAAACACGUGAAACCCAAGAAUAAGAGAUUCACAAUCAACAAUGUCAAGGCUAGCAGUUCUGCUGCAACCGAGAAACCUCACAUUUCUGAAGGUCCCAUGUUCACUACAGAGGAGUAUAAUCAAAUCAUUGCUAUGCUACGUAAUGGUAAUACACAAUCAAUUGAAAAUGCAACAGGUAUUUUUUCGCCCACAUGCAAUAUAGCACAAACAAGCCCGCAUUCAACUCUAUACUGGAUAGUUGACAGCGGAGCAACCGACCACAUAUCACACUCUCCACCAACACAUAACAUCCUUGAUGUUCAGUGUGACUCUGUUGGUUUGCCCGAUGGGGGGCAAGCAAAAAUAAAGAAUAUUGGCUCUAUAAAAUUAUCACAUGAACUAUCCCUUGAUAAAGUUCUUUAUGUACCAAAGUUUCGUGUCAAUUUAUUAUCCGUUAGCAAAUUGACAAGAGCUUUGCGAUGUAUAGUGAUAUUUUAUCCGAAUUUUUGUAUUGUGCAGGACAUGGAUACGAGGAGGACGAUUGGCCUGGGCAAGCAUUUUGAUGGGCUCUACUAUCUCACCCCAAAACAUAAUCCUCACCUCGCUAAUCAUAUCCACCGUACCUCUAGUCUUUGGCAUCAGCGUCUUGGACACCCAUCAGCCGCACCUUUACUUUCAUUAGCCAAACAUAAUGUUGAAAUAAUGUUUGAUUCAAAACACGUUUGUGAAGUUUGCCCUUUGGCAAAACAAACUCGUUUACCCUUUUCUCAUAGUGAAAUCAAAUCUUCUGCACCAUUCGAUUUAAUUCAUUGUGAUAUAUGGGGCCCCCAUAGAAAUCCAACACACACUGGGGCACGAUAUUUUCUCACUAUUGUAGAUGAUUUCACUCGUUUUACUUGGGUACAUCUUAUGAGUUUCAAAUCUGACACACAAACAAUUUUAAAAUCUUUUUUUUCUUGGGUCAAAACACAAUUUCAACAUGACAUUAAAACUCUUCGUGCGGACAAUGGUGGUGAAUUCCUCUCCAUUCGUCCUUUCCUAGACUCAUGUGGUACCCUUUUCCAACACUCUUGUCCAUACACUCCACAACAGAACGGGGUAGUUGAACGUAAACAUAGACACCUUUUGAAUGUUAGCCGUGCCCUUAAGUUCCAAGCCAAUUUACCCUUGAAAUUUUGGGGAGAAAGCCUCCAAACAGCCUGCUAUCUUAUCAACCGCCUACCUUCACCCCUCCUAUCUCAUAAAUCCCCAUAUGAACUCUUGCACAACACACCUCCCACCUACACACACUUGCGUGUUUUCGGAUGUCUUAGCUAUGCCACCAACCUCACACCUACCAAUAAGUUUGACGAACGUGCUCAUCGAUGUAUCUUUCUUGGUUAUCCUCUUGGUCAGAAAGGCUACAAAGUCUAUGAUCUAGCCUCACACAAAUUUUUUACAUCACGAGAUGUCAUCUUCCAUGAGCACAUCUUCCCUUAUGCCUCUUUAGCACCCGUGAACCACACUGACAUGGCCAUUACUCCCAACUCCAAUGACCACAUCAAUACCCAUGAAAUACUCCCUGCUCCACCCCCACAAGACAUCACCGAACCUUCCUCACCGGACCCACCUCCAUCACUCAACCUUGAGCCCGUCACUGACCUUCCCACCACAAUUGACACAAACCCACCUGUCAUACACGAUUCUCCCACAAUACCUCCAUCCUCUGUACCGACCCAUUCCCCCCCAAUUUCCCUUCGCCACUCUACCCGUCAUACUCGGCCACCUGCUCACUUCAAGGAUUAUGUGGCUCAUCAUUCUGUCUUGCUUCCACCCACAUCAACCUCCCCACAAUCUAUGUCCAGCACUCGCCAUCCACUGCAUCGGUAUGUCUCCUAUUCUUGCUUAUCCCCUGGUUAUCGCCGUUUUGUUUCUAACAUCUCCCAAAUAGUGGAGCCUACUACAUAUGCACAGGCUUGCCAGAAUCCCAAAUGGGUUGCAGCGAUGCAGGCUGAACUCACAGCCUUAGAAGCCAACCACACUUGGAGCCUUGUUCCCCUUCCACCGGGACAACGUCCCAUUGGCUGCAAAUGGGUCUUCAAGCUUAAGUAUCAUUCUGAUGGGACUCUUGAACGCUACAAGGCGCGCCUCGUUGCAAAAGGGUUCACUCAACGUGAGGGAAUCGAUUACAAGGAGACAUUUGCGCCAGUGGCUAAACUCCUUACCGUGCGCUGCCUGUUGACUAUAGCAGCUGUCCGCCAUUGGUCGUUACACCAAAUGGACGUCCAAAACGCCUUUCUCCAUGGUGCCCUUCAGGAGGAGGUCUAUAUGAUGCCUCCACCAGGUUGUCAUCGACAGGGGGAUAACAUUGUGUGUCGACUCCAUAAGUCAUUGUAUGGGCUUAAACAGGCAUCCAGAAGUUGGUUUCAAGAGUUCUCCUCAGCAAUACAAACUAUCGGGUUCUGCCAAUCUAAAGCAGAUUACUCCUUAUUCACCCAAGUCAAAGGUACAUCACUCACUAUUAUAUUGCUUUAUGUUGACGACAUGGUAAUUACAGGUAACAAUGAGGCAGAAAUCAAGAACCUGAAAGUCUUCCUUAGCAGCAAAUUUCGAAUUAAAGACCUCGGACCUUUGAAAUAUUUCCUAGGAGUCGAGGUCGCCCGAUCGAAAGCUGGAAUUACAAUUUGCCAAAGAAAAUAUACAUUGGACAUAUUGGAGGAAGCUGGGUUACUAGGUGCUAAGCCAAUGAAGGUCCCAAUGGAGGCUGAUUUGGUGCUAACACCCACAGGUAGCAGUUCACUCCAUGAACCGGCGAAGUAUCGACGCUUAGUCGGGAAAUUGAUCUACUUGACAAUCACAAGACCAGAAAUAGCGUACACUGUCAAUACGCUAAGUCAAUUCAUGCAAGAUCCACAACGACACCAUCUUGAUGCAGCGUAUCGACUUCUCCGAUACCUUAAAGGAGCUUCGGGUCAAGGUUUGAUGUUUUCCUCACAAAAUAAUUUACAUUUAAUUGGUUACUGUGAUGCAGAUUGGGCUCGUUGCCCCACCACACGCCGAUCCGUGACUGGUUAUUGUAUUUUCCUUGGAAAUUCAUUGGUGUCAUGGAAGAGCAAGAAACAGGUUACAGUAUCUCGCUCAUCCGCAGAAGCGGAGUAUCGAUCCAUGGCCGCAGUUACUUGUGAGUUAAGUUGGUUACGAUAUUUGUUGAAAGAUUUGCAUGUUGAUCAUCCCCAACCAGCAAGGUUGUUUUGUGACAACCAAGCUGCCUUACACAUAGCCGCAAAUCCUGUAUACCACGAACGCACAAAACACAUUGAGAUUGAUUGCCACACUGUUCGUGAGAAGAUUCAAAAGGGAGAAAUCAAAACUUCACAUGUCAGGACAGGGGAACAAGUUGCAGACUUAUUUACUAAACCACUGCGUGCACCCAUCUUCCAUACACAUCUAAGCAAGUUGAGCGUUAUUGACAUCCACACUCCAACUUGAGGAGGAGUGUUAAAGGAAAGAUGAUUAUACGAUGUAAUUGAGAGUGAUCAUAGCUUCUAUAAUUGUCAAUCCUUUUAUUCUGUGUAAUUAUAGUAUGUAACCGUUAUUAGCUUAGCUGUAGGAUCUGCUGUUAAUAUCAGCUUGUUUAUAGGAAUUGCUUUCCUAUAAUAGCAUGUAGGUUCUGUAUAAAUCCUCACCUUGUAUACUGUUACAACACAUCAAUGAAAUAUACAUAUUCUCAAUUUAGGUACUGUGCUUUCCUACAUAUGCACAGGUUGAUGAUGAUACCAGUGGUGAAGAAACAUCUCUUUAGGUACUGUUUACAAUGAUUUAAAUUUAUCAUAUUUAGUUUUACAUUUUUAUCCAUUCUUCAAUUCCUCUUUUUUUUUCGCUUAAAUUCUUUUCCCCGAAAACAAAAUGCAAUUGUUAUUUGACAAAAACCUUGUGUUUUCAAGGGGCAGGUUCAAGUGGAACUCCAUCAGAUUUAACCAGAGCAAAAGAACAAGACAAGGCAUGUCGUGGGUGUCAUGAUAAAAUGCAGAGUUGACUAAUUCAUUCAGCAAUUUAAAUUUCUUUGAACUUAAAACAUCAUUAUUAAAUUCUAUGUUUGUCUAAUUUCUUCAGGCUUUCUUCAGAUCAGCUAGUCACUUACGAAGAUCAACUUAAGGCUCGGAGUGUCUGCUUUGUGUAAUUUCCUUGGCUAGUUGUGUGUGAUGAUUUGUCAUUAAUAAAUUGAUAAACAUUUGGUUGUUCUGAAUUAAUGGCUUGCCUCUUUAUCAUAUUUGAAAUAUUGUGUGUAAUCAUUUCAAUAAUUAUGCUUAACAUAUAAAUUCGUCCUUCUACACAAACUAAAAAGCUGAAGUUGGGAGGAGAAGGAGCAAGCUACUUGUUUCUAAUAAUACAACAGUCAUCACGAAUUUCCAUCUUACUGCAAUGUCUCAUUCAUGAGUUUCAAAGAUCUUAACGAAGAGACAUCCAUUUCCGCACCCUUCAAGAACAUCUACCCUUUCUUUAUAUCUGAAUAAUGCAUGGGAACAUGCUGUUGCUCUAAUUAAACUCUAAAUUAAAGGUCUGCAUGACUAGCUAUCAUGCCGAGUAGAUUUUCUAUUCCAAAAAGAAAAUCACAGAAACUUCCCUUAGAGGCAGAAGUUUGCUGCUGCUACCUGCAUAUUGCAGCAUCCUGAUAUAUAGGUGUAGAGCCUGAAAGCUGCACUAUAAAUGUAAUCUGGUUCAGUCAUCGAUCGAGAAUCAGACUCCUUCCCUAACAAAUUCAUCUCUCCAAUACACGCCUUCCUUCGCUCUUCUUGCACAAUCUCCACCGUCGGUAAAAACCUCCCCUCGCUCUUUCUCUAAGCUAAUUACCUAACCAUGUUUUAAUCAUUUUCACUUUUGCUGACAGCUUGCAUCAACCGUCGCGGAUUACAAAUUCUCUCUUCAUAACCCACUGGUAAACUCUGAUUCCUACUAACAGAAAUUACCGUAGUUUUGAAACCCGAUCCGGCCUAGCGGGUUAAUCUGAAGCUGAAAUUGGACCGGCUUUAAAAAAAAUAGGAAAAGUAAAAAUUCAGGGUGACCCGACAACCCGGUAAGACCCAGUCAAAAACCCGGUUGUAACCCGUUGACUUUUUUUUAAAUCAAAACAACAUCAUUUUAAUUUUUUUAAAAAAAUUAACCCGGACGACCUGGUGACCCGAUCAAAACCCGGAACCCAGGUAUUGGACCUGGCCGAGUUUAAAAACUAUGGAAAUUACUCAAGGUAAAUGAAGUUAAUUUUAUUAUUAUUAUUUUUAAUUUAUGUGUUAAUUUGUGAUUUAGUGAAUAAAUUAAAGUUUUGAUUUUGACUGAAUCUAAUUAAUUAAAUCGGCAAAGAGGGUAUUGAAAUUAUGUAGAAAAUGAAGGAUUUUAUGUGAAAGCUGGGCAAUUAUUUUUUAUUUGCUUGUGCACGUUUGUUUAUUUUCGAUUUCGAAGAAUUUAUGUCUGUUUCGUAGGCUAAUUUUUUGGGUUAGGUAUAAUGAAGGCAGUUCCUAGUAGUUUCAACGAUAUAAAAUAAGUUCUUGAAAGCAAUUUGGGUUGAUGUUUAACGGAGAUUUAUGUUUCGGUUCUGUAUUUUCUUUGUUUUUCUUUUCUGAGAUGUUGAAGGUGAAAAUUUGUUGUUGAAUUAUGGAUUUUUUUUUUUAUGUAAAUGACAGCUGCUGCGUCGAUUGCCCAAGGGCAUCUUGCGAUGUUGAAAGAUCGUCAAGCAGUAGCAGUCAAGGUUGGUUGGUGCGGUGUCAGUUUUAGUUAGUCAAUUUAUUAUUAUGGUCUGGGUUUUGUAAUAGCAACAAGAUGAUUUUUGUGAAUUAAAUUAGGAAGUUUAAGAGAGUUUUGAACUGUUGAUGAUGCAAUGCAUUUAGGCUAUCGAUCCUUUCAUAACUUGUUUCAAAUUUUGUGUAUUUACGUUUGUUGAAUCUUUGCUUACCUUCCAAUAUUAUAUAGCUGCAUGUGACUGAAUGCCGGGAUUCUUCCUCUCUGUCUUUCCUUCAUCUGUUUUUAUUUCCCUUCCGAAAAGUAAACUUUUUGCCAUACAGUUUUAUAUUAGAUAUGUUGGAUCUUGCUUCCAAAUCCUAAUCUGCAUAGAAGAAGCUCGAUAUUUCAGUGAUUUGAUUCUUCCAAUAAAGUCGAUGAUUGCAUUAGGAGAAUCUCUAUGAUGUUCUCUGAUGAAUGUGAAACAUCCCCUUCCCAUACCUUCUUUAUAUAUGUUCGAAAAUUUUCUUGUUUUCAGAACUUCAUGGAUGCUUGUGAUAGAUGUACUUGAAAGUAACAUGCUUAUUUUUUUCUGCAUGUAGGUGCAGCACUACCCUGGGUUAGAAAUCCAGAUGAAGAUCGACAUAGCCAUUAUGUCACUUAUCCCAAAAUCUGUUGCAUGAGUAAGUGAUAACAUUAUCUUAACAAUUUUAAUUAUUUCUCUAUUGCAUUCUGUUGGCACCAUCUUUUUGUGAAGUUAGUUUGUGGAUGGUAAAUCACAUGAUUAUGCACAGAAAGAAGAACUAAUGCUGAUAAAAUUGCAGUAUAUGUUCUAGCCCUCUGACGUAAAAACCCUACAAAGGGAUGUUCUUUUUAGGAUAUGAUAACAUUCAACAGGUUUUGAAGAAUACAUGCGUCUUCUUUUUCUCAUUGGACAACAAUUUAUUCUCCUGAUUGUUUUUGUGCAUAUCUCAUGUGUUCCCUUUCUAAUUAAAUUGCCUUCUUUUGAUUUUGAUGAGUGAUCCACUGGCUUAGAGUUACGUUUUGCUCUUUUUGUCUUUCCACAACUUUUCCCUGAUUACAGAUUUAACUGGCUGAUAACAGAAUUCAGAGAGACUAUUUCUUCAGAACUUGGUCUGUGUAUUCCUUUGGUUAUUUUAUGUGUUCUUGAUCUCCUUGAUAGAUACAUGAAGAACUCGUGUAACUUCUUCAUUGCAUGCAUUCUCCAUAUUUCAAUUACUAUUAUUUCUUCAAGUGAUCAGAUACAUUGGAGAAAUUGCCAGCAACAAAGUGCAGAAGCGCAUGCAUUGUGAUGGGGGUGGCCAUUGAAGUCUUCUAAAUGAUGUAGAAUGGUACAGGGACUGGUGGUCUGGAGUCGUGUCAUUUUCUUGAUUCUCCGGUGCCUGUUUGAGAAGUUGCUACAGUAUAACACCAUCUAAGCAAUUCCAUAAUUAACCAGGGAACUGAGGUUUUAUGAUUCCUGGGUGUAUAAAAUUCUUACCUGACUGGGUUCUAACGAUAACUCUUAAUUCUCUCAUCACCACGCACCUGUUACUUGAAUUCCAUGCGCGACAGCACAUCCUCACAAAUAAUCGUUUUCUUUUUGCUCAUUUGCGUCCUUACUAAUUGUGCUUUUUAACAUUCCACAGCCCAUAAUCCCAUUUCAAGAUACCCGUAAAAAGACCAGAAGUGAAACUUGCUAUUAAGGAAAUAUUUUAGGACUAGUUCGGCCAUGGCCGAAAAACUACUAGCCCAUAGCCUAUUAAAACUCUUAAAAGUCCAUGAAUCCAAUAUCCCAGCAAAACCUUGAAGAACUCUCACCGUUACCUUUUUUAUACGGUUAUGUUACGUAGUAAAAAUAAUCAAAUAAAUUAAGAAUGUACUUAAUUUGUUAAACAACAUUUUCCCUUUUCAGCAGCUUGAAAUUUGGGUGGAAUUAUGGUUCCUUGAGAAGAGUAGUAAAAUUAAUGCUAUAAAUGAUUCAGAAAUGGAAGGACCAUAUAGAACCGUGUUCAUAAGAACUGGACUGUCAUAGUAGCAAGCGAGCUAAGACCGGUCCUCAAUUCCUAUAUAUAUAGAACUUCAAAGCAGUAUCUGCCUUAUUUGGCCCAUUGCACAGAAACAAAUAAGGAUUAAAUCGCAGCUGUAAUGCACUCUUAAAAGAAAUUGAUUUGUAGGCAAUAAGUAACUCACUACAAUACGAAAAAAACAACUGUUUGGUCUUCGCAAAAGUUAGGAAGUGCACCCAUAUUCUGCGAACCCAUCCGCAAACUAUUUUGAGUAAAAAAAAAUAAAAAGAUGAUUUUUUAAAGUGCACUGGCAAAGUGUAUUUAGGAAUUAUGUGAUUGUUUUUUAAAGUGUUUUUUAUUUAAAAAUAUUUUAAAAAAAUUUAUUUUUAACAUCAAUGCAUUAAAAUAAUCUAAAAAUUUCAAAACAAAAGUAUUAAUUCAAACACAUAUCAGAAAAUAAGGCAGUUUUUUUUUUCUGAUGUAGGGUAUUUUUAAAAAAACAAUUGAAAAUAUAUUUAAAUAAUAUUUUUAAAUAUUGUUUUUCUUUAUAUUUUCCCAUUAAAAUAUUUAUAAAAUACUAAAAAUAUUAUUUUGAUUUUUUUUUCAAAAAAUACUCAAAAUUUUGGAAAAACUAGUUGCAUUACUCUUAUCAACCAGGCUUUUUAUAAUUAUUUUCUUUCUCCAAAUUUUAUAUUCAAAACGAGUUAACUCGGUUGAUUCAGGUUUUUUUAAAUAUGUUAAAAUAAUAUUUUUAAAUACCCUUUUUUGUUAUAUUUACCAUUACAAUAUUUAUAAAAUAUUAAAUAUAUUGUUUUGAAUUGUUUUUUAAAAAAUAUUCAAAAUUUUGGAAAAACACUGCUCAAUUAUACUCAUUUCAAAAAAAUGAUGUUUUUUUAACUGAGUUGAUUCAGGUUUUUUUACUUAUUUUCUAUGAAAUUAUCUUAAUCUCCUAACUCAAGUAGCAAGUUUAAGAAGUUAAUUUAGGUUUAAUAUUCAUAAAUCCUAUUUUAUUGACAAAAGGCGUGAAGUUUUCUUUAAAUUAAUUAAUUAAAGAAAACAUAUUUUCAUAGAAGCAUGCACCCAGCAUGUGGUGGUGUCCACAUAGGGAAUAACAAUGGUCAAAUCCAACGGUAAAUACUCCAUCACCUAAAUAAAAAAAAAGUCUCUCUCCCCAGACAACUAGCAUCCCAAUCCCCACGUAGCCAAUUCAUAAUUCACAGCGACAAAUGCGUUUCAAAUGAUGUUUUAUUAAAAUUUAUUUUUUUUAUUUAAAAUUAUUUUUUUAUAUUAUAGAUGGAUCAAAUGGAUAUACAGAUAUACAGAUAUCUGUACAUUUAUAAAAGCAUAAGAGCAUGUUUGGUAUUAUAUAUAAAAAAAACUUUUUAUAUAAAAAUAAUAUUUUUUUAUUUUUUAAAAUUUAUUUUUGAUUAACAUAUUAAAAUGAUCUAAACUCUCCCCAAGUUUCCAAACAACUUCCAUCAAGUGCGGUCAAUAGUCUUUGCAGAUAGUAUAGUGGGGCCUACAUGCAAAACAGACUUUGAGAAAUGUUUGUUAGAAUUUAAGCAUUUGCGGUCUUUGAAAUUAAUGGACGAUUCUGGAUUUGAGGCUUUUCCGGAGAGGAUUGGCGCCUUGAAACAUUUGAGAUAUCUCCAUUUUUUGAACAACGCAAAAAUAAAAAGACUCCCAAAAUCUAUUUUCAAAUUGCAAAACUUGCAAGCUCUGGUUACAGGUGAAGGAUUAGAAGAGCUGCCCAAAGAUGUGAGGUACAUGAUCAGCCUUAGAUUUUUAUAUCUAGUUACUAAGCAGAAGCAGUUGCCAGAAGAAGGGAUUGGGUGUUUGGAGUGUCUUCAAACUUUAUUCAUUGCUGAUUGUGAAAAUCUAGAAAAUUUGUGCGAAGAUAUGCAAGGUCUUACAAGUCUUCGAAAAUUGGUUAUUGCUGGGUGUCCUCGCUUGAUUUCUCUGCCGAGUAGCAGAGAAAAAAAUUCAACCUCUUUCUCUUUCUCUUUGUAUUGUAAUAUUUGAAGAGUUACCAACAACUCUUGCUUUACCGGAACAGCUUCUUCAAGGAUCUGCAGAAUCCUUACAAACAUUAAUCAUCAGAGAUUGUUCAAACAUUAGAGAAAUGCCAGAUUGCAUCGGCAAUUUAAAGAAACUUCAAAAUCUUGAGAUCAGUGAUUGUCCAAGUUUGAGCAAAAAGUGUCGAAGGGGAACAGGAGAAGAUUGGCCCAAGAUCAAACAUAUCCCUAAAAUCGAGGUUGACGGUGAUGACAAUGAUGAAGAGACAUCUCAUGCAGGUAGCAGCAGCAAACCAUAUUUAAAUUUAUCAUAUUUAGUUUUACAUUUUUAUCCAUUCUUCAAUUUCUUUUUUCGUUUAAAUUAUUUUCCCUGAAAACAAUAUUAGCUUUGAAAAAAAAAAACUGACAAAAGCUCUUGUGUUUUGGAGAGGCAGGUUCAAGUGGAACUCCAUAAGCAAGAGAAGAAGACAAGGUAUGUCAUGAUAAAAUGCAAAGUUGACUAAUUCAUUCAGCAAUUUAAAUUUCUUUGAACUUAAUACAUCAUUAUUAAAUUCUAUGUUUGUCUAAUUUCUUCAGGUUUACUAAUGUGAGGGUCCUGUCGGCCAAGAUCUUCUACGACAGUUGGUCUCUUGCAAAGAUCAGCUGAAGGCUCGGAGUGUCUGCUUUGUGUAAUUUCCUUGGCUAGCUGUCUGUGAUAAUUUGUCAUUAAUAAAUUGAUAAACAUUUGGUUGUUCUGAAUUAUUUAAAUAAUUAUGCUAAUUGUUUCUGAUAAUACAACAGUCAUCAAGAAUCUCAAACUUACUGCAAUGUCUCAUUCAUGAGCUUCAAAGAUCUUAACGAAGAGACCUCCAAUAACAUAUUAAAAGUUUAUAAAUUUUUACACUCUGUAUUUCAUUAAAUUUUGAAAUUUCUUUGCUUAAAAUUAUUUAUUUUUUUAUUUUUUUAAUAUGUAACUUUUAAAAAUAAUUUUUAAAAAAUAAAAAAAAUAUUUUAAUAUAUUUUUAAAUAAAAAGACCUAACACCAUCUAAAACCACCCCUUGAUCCUAACUAAUUUUUGAAAAACAAACCUUCUAGCUUCCUUUAACCAGUAAAACCGAACUUUUAACUCUGGACUGGAUUGUGUAUUCAUUGAUAGUGUAUAUGGAUUUCUUUUAUAUAUAUAAAUCAAGUAUUCAACAUAUUCAUCCAAAUAUAAUAAUAAAAUCAACGAAUGUACACUUUUUGAAGACAUUUUCCCUACUUCGACAGGCUCAAUGAGAUUAUCGUUUCUAACUCUGGAGUGGAUUGUGUAUUCACUGAUAGUGUAUAUAGAUUUUUUUUAUAUAUAUAAAUCAAGUAUUCAACAUGAAUGUGCACUUUUUGAAGACAUAUUCCCUUAUAAAAGAUACAAGAAAUUCAUUCACAUACAAAAUCAAAGAAAAAUAGCUUAGGUGGUCUCAUCAAACUAUUGAUGAAAGAUCUAUACUCACCAUCUAAAAAUUCAUUCACUACUACUAGGUUAUAAAUAGAUCUUCAAGAGAAAAGUAAAAGCUAAUAGAACCAUCCAAAAAUACAAAGUAAGAUUUAUUGUAAAGGUUUCAAACAACAAAAAGAAAAAAAAAUUAUUUUGCUACAUAUUUAUCUAUGUUAAUAAUAAAUUUUAUAUGUACAUUAAUAGUUAUUACAAUUAUUAACAAGUUAGAAAUACAUCAAAUUUAUAAAAAAAAUAAUUUUUUUAAAUAACGAUUUUGACGGAGAGGUAUUUAUAAAACAAACUAAGAGGUUUGUUGUUAAAAAAAAAAGAUUUUAAACUUAUUAAGUUAUCUAGUUUGAAACAAAUUUUUAAAUAAUAGCAUGAAAAGUUUCACAAUGUUAUAUUUAAAAAAAUAUAUAUUUUAAGAAUUUUAAAAAAUAUUUUUUAAAAAUUUCAAGAAAACAAGAAAAAAAAUUACAAUAAAUGGAGGUCGAAAUUCAUUAAAUAAUUAAAAAUUCAAAAGCUAAAGAUGAAAUCGAAAAAAUAUAUCAAUAUUCAAGGACUAUAUAUAAUGCAAUCAGGGAUGAAAUUGAGAAAAAAUAAAGAAAGAAUGGUUGAAAUUUGCCAAAAAUGAAACAAUUAAACUUGGGGGACCUUUAAAAAAAUGAAAUUUUCCUUCGCAUCAAAAUAUUGUCAUUUUAAAUAAAAAAAAAAUUAAAUGCAACGGAGUCAUUCUGAUGCUUCACUUCACUACUAUUUGAUCGCUUUCCCUUGAUCCAAAUCUUUUAAGCAAAUCAUGGCUGGGAAGGCACCGAAAUCCUUUGACAGUGUGUCGUUAACGGUACUGCUACGCCGAGUAUUGUGUGUGAUCUCCUAGAUUUUUUGGUGACAGGAGGUCGUCUAAAUCUGGGUAAUGUAAGCGACAAGUCGCUUGUUAUUUUUUUUUCAAAGCAUUAAAAGUCACUCGCCCUUUAAGAAGUUCUUUUUCUAAACAAGGACAGACAGAAGCGGUAGCCAGAAGGUGGGAUUGGGUGCUUGAAAUUUCUUCGAACUUUACUGAUCUAUGAGUGUGAAAAUCUACAAAAGAUGCUUUCUUUGUUGUUCCAUUUUUUCAAAAGAUUACUACUUUUAUGAUGUCGUUUGAAUUGCGUAUGUGUUGAUGUAAAAUAAAUUUUAAAAAACAAAAAUAUUAUUUUAAUAUAUUUUUAAAUAAAAAAACUUUUUUAAAAAAUAAUUUUAGAUGUCACAUGUACUCAUUCAAUCAAAGUCCAAAUGACAGCUUGCGUUAGGCGCGCGCGUUGAUCUCAAAAUAUUUCUUUUUAAAUGCAUUGAAUAAUAAUCUCUCAAAACCCCCAAUUUUCCAAACUAUUAAAAUAUUUGUCUGUCCUUGAUUUCAAUAUUUUAUUUUUUCAUUAAACUCUUACAAAUGUUUUAUAUUAUUUUAUAUUUAAUUUUUAUUAAAUAAAUAAAAAUAAUCAUAUUAAAUUUUAUAAUCAAUUGGUCAACAAGACUCUAAUAACAUAUUAAAAAAUUAUCUUAAUCUAAUAAUUUAAACUAUUAAAUAAAAUAAAUAUAAUUUAUAUUAUUCUCUGCUAAUAAUUAACUCACUAUGUCACGGAAAAAAACAAUUGUUUGCUCUAUUAGGUCUUUGCAAAAGGUAUAGGGUUACCCAUAUUCUACGAAGUACGAACCCAUCCACAAACCAUUUUGAGUGAAAAAAUAAAAAAAUGCAGGUCCAAGCCGAAGUAGUGCACCGGCUAAGCUCCUUUAAUGAAAUGGCUGCAUUUAGUGCACUGGUAAAAGCACAUCAAUUCCACCGAAAAGAAAUUUUAAAAUUAAAAUAAAUUUCAAUGGUCAAAGAUAAGGCCUAAGGCUCCAUGCCAAAGACAAUAAUUCAAACACAUAUCAGAAAAUAAGGCAGUCUUUUUUUAAAUAUAUUAAAAUAAUAUUUUUAAAUACUGUUUCUUCUUUAUAUUUGCCAUUAAAAUAUUUAUAAAAUACUAAAAAUAUUGUUUUUAAUUUUUUUUCAAAAAAUAUUCAAAAUUUUGAAAAAUCAUGGUUCAAUUGCACUCCUCGACAGGGCUUAAAAAAUUUAUGCUUCUACUAUACAGUCUCAUAAUUUGUUUAUUACUUUUUUUUUUUAAAGUUAAUUCAAGUUUUUUUUAAUUGAUAUUUAUUCUUGAAAAGGACAUUAAAAUGAUCUAUAUAAAAACAUAAAAAUAGUUUAAGUAAUGAAAAAAAUUAAAAAAUUCAAAUUUUUUUAAUAAUACUUUUAAAAUAUAAAAACAAAUAAUCUCUAGAGUUGAUAUCCUCGUGUGGUUGGCCCAAAUAUAUGAUAGUGGUAGAGAUUUUCAGAUAGAAUUUGGAGCUGUAUAUGGUAAAAGCACAUCAAUUCCACCAAAAAAAACUUUUAAAAUUAAAAUAAAUUUCAAUGGUCAAAGAUAAGGGUACAUGCCAAAGACAAUAAUUCAAACACAUAUAGGAAAAUAAGGUAGUUUUUUAAAAAUAUAUAUUAAAAUAAUAUUUUUAAAUACUGUUUUUUCUUUAUAUUUGCCAUUAAAAUAUUUAUAAAAUAGUAAAAAUAUUGUUUUGAAUUUGAUGAUCUGUAGGUAUUUCACUCUUGCCUUUUGUCGUCUUGUCCGUCUUUGACUCAGAAAGCACUUCUAUUACAGCAUUCUACAGAUGAAAGAUACAAUUGAAAACUAGAAUCUGGACUCCACACUCUUCAGGUUAGCAAAUUACAGACCUAAUUUUUAAAUAUUUUAAUCUAAAAGAUAAAAUUAACAAAAAUAAAAUUUAAAAAAUCAUAAUAAAAAUUCCAAAAAAAACAAUGGUCUGCUCUGUAUUUUUUAAUUUUUGUUACUUCAAAAAGUUUAAUAACAUAAUUUUUCACCAAAACUAUUCUUUUUAAUAAUAUGAAAAAAAAAAUUAUAAAAAGUCAAGUGCAAUUAAAAAAACCCAUCAAAUCAAUAAACUUGAAUAAUUUGGGUUAUUUCGACUAACCCAUAAAUCAUGUUAACAUGGUAGAAAGAUAAAAUUAAAAAAAAAUUAUAAAGUUAAACUCUCAACCAUUUUAAUAUUAUAAAAUAAAAUGAACUAAAAUAAUUUAAAAAAAUUAUAAAAAUAAAAAUAUAUAUAAAAACUAUAUAUAUAAAAAAAAAUAUUAUAGCAAUCCGUGAUUUUGUAAUAAAAUUACUGUGAUUUUUCUAAUUCAUCUGUACAUAUUUAAUCCAGAUAUGAUUAAAAUAGAAACUAACUCGAUUUUUUGGCGACAGCAGGUCGCCUGAGUAAAUCUGGGCAGUGCAUAUUUUUUUCAAAGCAUUAAGGGUCGUCCGCCACUUAAGAAUAUGGUCAAAUAUGGGUGACUGUGUACAUUUACUUGUAUAAAAGCAAAGGGACCCACGCAGGUCCCUGUGUUUCAUCAUGUAGGCUGAACCUGUCAACACUUUAGAUGGAGGAUGCCUGCUGAUUAGUCAAUGAAGUCAAUUUGGACGCGUGGAUACUUUACGGUGGGGUCUUGUUUUGUGAAACUUUCGGCUUGAGAAAUACUGGGAAUGUGGAUUUUGCAUUUUAGUGAUUCCUCGGUGUGAAAUGUGGAAACUGUGGGUGGGGCGGCCAUGAUAUUAACAUAUAUCCCUGUUUUCCAAGCCACAAUUUCAAUUGAUAUCAAAUAUAAUGUAUCAAAUAAGUUAAUAAUGUAUUUAAUUUAUUAUAUAUUAUUUUCCCUCCUCAACUUCACAAUUGGGUACAUAAAUUAAGAUUAAGUAGAUAACACGUAAGUAGGGUGGGAUUAUAGCUUCUUGGUCAACUACUCAAAAACAAUUAAGGAUUAAAUCGAUCGCUAAUAUUAUGAAGAAAAGAAAAGAAAGAGAACAACCCAUUAAACAAGCAAUCCAUGGAGGAUGGAGCCAUUGUACAUUUUAAUUAAGAAGACUCAACGACUUCUCCUCUCCACUCAGAAAAGAAAGCGGAACUCCACUCUUAUCUCAAUCAUUUUUUUCCCUAUCAAACACUUCCUCCCCUCACUCAAAAAGAAAAUGGCCGAAGCUUUUGCAGCCGAUAUUGCAAAAUCCCUUCUAGGGAAGUUAGGCUCUUUCGCUGUUCAAGAAUUUCGUUUGGCAUGGGGACUUGAAGAUGACCUUGCACGUCUUGAAGAGAUAUUGAAAGCCAUCAACGCGGUGCUGUCCGAUGCUGAGCAGAAACAAUCAAAGAAUAACGGGAUUCGGCUCUGGCUCCAUAUGCUCAGAGAAGUCUUGUAUGAUGCAGAGGACGUGCUGGACGAAAUCGAGUGCGAAACUUUGCAAAGGAAGGUGGUGAAAACUAAAGGGAGCACCAGCAGAAAGGUACUCCACUUCUUUACAAGAUCUCCAUUCCGUUUAAUAAUAGGUCAUAAGAUAAAGAAGAUCAUAGAAAGACUAGGUGAGAUUUCAGCUCUUAAGUCUGACUUCAACCUCAGCGAGCAGGCUAUUGAUUGUAGUCAUGUCUUGCAUGAGGAAACAGAGAUGAACCGAUCCUUUGAGAGCUUUUCCGGUCUUAUUGGAAGAGAUAAAGACAAAGAACGCAUCAUCAACCUUUUAGCAGCACCUUCUAAGGUUGGUGAUGCACAUCCCGUUGUCCUUCCGAUAGUAGGAAUGGGAGGCUUGGGGAAGACAUCUCUUGCCAAAUCGGUGUGUGAUGCUGAAAAUGUAAAAAGUCAUUUUGAACUGAAGAUGGAGGUCUGUGUUUCAGAUGAUUUUUCCUUGAAACAAGUGAUACAAAAGAUUAUUAAAUCUGCAACUGGGGAAAGAUGUGCGGAUUUGGAUGAGGGUGAACUUAAUAAAAAACUUGAAGAAAUUGUGAAUGGUAGGAAAUACUUGCUUCUUUUGGAUGAUGUUUGGAAUGAAGAUGCUCAAAAAUGGUUGUUGUUGAAGCCUUUGUUAUCAAAAGGUGCUGAUGGAAGUAAGAUUAUAGUAACUACCCGUAGUCAACGUGUUGCUGAGAUUAUGGGUACUGUUCCUGCGGACAACCUAAGUCUUCUUGGUCAAGAGGACUGUCUGUCGUUGUUUUACAAGUGUGCAUUCAAGGAAGGGCAAAAGGAGUUGUAUCCAAAUUUGGUUGGAAUUGGGAAAGAAAUAGUGGAAAAAUGCAAGCAAGUUCCUCUGGCAGUGAUUAACUUGGGGACUCAACUGUAUGGUAAGACUGAUGAAAAAGAGUGGCAAUCGGUGAGAGACAGUGAGAAGUGGGAAGAAGAGGGAGAUGGCAUUUUACCUGCCUUGAAAAUAAGCUAUCAAAGACUGCCGACUCACUUGAAAAGAUGCUUUCUUUAUUGUUCGGUUUU
Molecule: long non-coding RNA, 48091 nt
Filed under: Populus trichocarpa (black cottonwood)
Lineage: Eukaryota; Viridiplantae; Streptophyta; Magnoliopsida; Malpighiales; Salicaceae
Description: long non-coding RNA (PTRI_LNC004440)
Source: RNAcentral